RNAcentral lists this long non-coding RNA (63387 nucleotides) under Ananas comosus (pineapple). RNAcentral describes it as "long non-coding RNA (ACOM_LNC026869)". Lineage: Eukaryota; Viridiplantae; Streptophyta; Magnoliopsida; Poales; Bromeliaceae. The record is from RNAcentral.
ACAGAUGAAAGUUUGAAUUCACAAACACCGAAGAAUUAUAAAAUUUUGAAAGACAAGAAAAAGAAAAAACUGUUUCAACAAAGGUAACAUGCCGAGAAAUAAAGGUUUUACUAGUGCUCGGGUAGCGGCAGCAAAAACCUUUAUGCCUAUUAGACAGUCCUAAGAAUACACAAGGAAGGGAUCGGUGAGAGAGCUUAUGAUCAGCAACAUUCUACAGGUUGGGAUAAUACAAACAUCUAAAUAUCUUAACAAGUUGCAAGUCAAAAGGGCAUAAAACCAUGCAAAAUAUUGUAUGGAGAUUUUUCUUUUAAAACAGUAAGUGAACGAGUGCAACUGACAAGAAAAAUAGCAGUUUGAAAAGCGUCAACCCAAAAACGAGGAGGCAUGGAAGCUUGACGAAGCAAACUUCUAAUGAUGUUAGCUAAGUGUCUAUGUUUCCUCUCUGUUACACCAUUUUGUUGUGGUGUAUGAGUACAAUGAAACCUAUGAAUAAUCCCAUUCUGUGAGAAUAAAGUAGAAAAUUUUUCAUUCACAUACUCCGUAUAAUUUUCAGAUUGAAAAGUUUUGAUUUUUCGAUGAAAAAUAUUUUCAACUAUGUCCUUGAACUCUAAAAAUUUUUCAAAAUCCUCAUAUUUAAAUUUUAAAAGAUAAAACCAAGAAAAUCGAAAAUAAUUAUCCACAAAGAUUACAUAGUAUUUAGAGCUAGAGACUGAAGGAACACUAGACUGUCAUACAUCAGAAUGAACAAGGUGAAAAGGAAAAGCAAAUUUUGAUUCAAAAUCGGUAAAAGAUAGUUUGAUAUGUUUUUCCAUAUGAUAGGCAUUGCAAAUAGAUUAAUUUAUUUCAGAACUACUAUCAGAAAUAACAUUAUUUUCUUUAAUAAACUUUGAAAGAACAGGUAAACCAGGGUGACCUAAACAUCUAUACAGAAUAUCUCCACUAAAUCUAGAUCCAAUUAUGAGUGGUCCUGAUGCACAACCAUACAUUUAAAACACUAAUUGAUUGUCGUUGUUGUUUGUUGCAUGCUCCUCGGUAGUUUGUAGUGCCACCAUUACACCGUUAUUGGCAAGUCAGGGAGUUCUCAAUUGCUCGAAUCUUUUCCUAGACAGGGCACCACGUAUGAAUUGCCCGAGACUCUUCCUACUCUAGGUAGGUGGUUGGGUUAGUCAUUGACUCAUCGAUACACUCGAUGCAUAAGUAGAAUCUCGCAUAUUGUACAUCAACUCUAGUUGUAAACACAAUCUCACAGAUAUAUCACAUUGUUGUUGCUUCCCAAUUAUUUACCUUAUUAAAUCAUUACUAUUCUCUUACCGACCGGUUGAGAAAAACUUGCCUUCAUCAGCUUACUGUACCCACUGGAAAACUUCAUAGUUUCUUAUUCCUGUUUAUAGGAUGCGUUGGACCAGGCGGAACACGAUGUGGAGUGAGGACGCAUAUUGGACUGCGUAGUAUAGAUAGUUAUGCCUAUGUAUUUUGGAACGUGGACAAAUGUAUUAUUUUGGAAAGAUGACAGUCGUAGGAAUACUAAGUGGAUUCUAUGUGUUCGAAAAUCUCAUUCCGUUUUGUAAAUGUUAAAGUAUUUUGAAAAAUUGAAAUUAAUGAUUUUUGGUUUACUUCCACAUUGUAAGCAGGUGUUUUGUACUUCGAUGUCCUACGCGUACAAAUAUUCAAUCCAUGUGGCGGGUCUGUGCGUCUGUCCAGUUGAGUUUCCGUGCCAGGAGUGACAAAGAUAACUAUAUGACACUGUGGUCUCUUGACUGCACAAUAUAUACAUAUAUAUAUAUAUAUAUGUACAUAUAUAUAUAUAUAUAUAGAGAGAGAGAGAGAGAGUGUUAGAGCUGAAAUGCUAUCGGUAGCAAACGGGCUCCGUUGCCACCCAUUUGUUUUCGAUGAUGGAGCCUCCAAAUCGACGAUCGGCACUGUUGAACACGAUCUAUUCCACUUGAAGCAUCUAGUAACCAAAUUUUAUGCUUUUUUAUAUUGUUCUCUUAUCCAUCAAGUGGACACAAAAUGAACGGCUAAAAAUGAAUAUUCUUUAAAAAGUGAUGAUAGGAAUCUUGUAAUUAAGAUCAAGAGUAUAAAUCUUGUUCUAAAUAGUUUAAAGAAUUUUCUAACUAAAAUUGAAAUGCUUCGUUAAAUAAUCACAUAAAAAGAGAUACGGUUUGAGUAAAUUGACCAGUACAAAUUUAUUAAAUUUUAAAUUUAAUCGAUAUAUAUAUAUAUCUCUCUCUCUCUCUCUCUCUCUCUCUCUAUCUCAACUCGAUCUUAUGAUAGCCAUCGUUUGCCCGAGGCAACGGUGGGUAAACAAAAGCUACUACCUCGGAGGUUUAGCUGCUAGCCGUGGCAACUUGUACUAGAUAUGGUGAACUUCAUAAAUCUUUGGUUUAAAGUUUAGAAAAACUGUAGUAACUGGAUUACUAGUUUCCCAAAGUUUUAAAUAUUAAAAUUACCAGCUAUACUCCGCAAAAGAGUAAAUUGCCACCUUUCUAUAGGUUUAACUAACNUAGCAUCGAGUCAUUGGUGCUAUUAGGUUUUCGGCCCUUCGAUGAAGGGAUGCGCGGUUAGGAUAAUAGUGGUCCCCUAGGGUUAAGUGGGUGGUUGGUUGAAUAGCAUGAUUUAACGGAUAAAAAUGGUCAAACGAGUAAAUCUACUGGUGGAAAACUUGGUAACAAAGUGCUUGGUGCUAUUAAAAGCGCCCCAGCCGGAAUCUAUGUAUAUAUAUAGAGAGAGAGAAAGAGAGAGAGAGAGAGUCCGGCUAUGAUGCUUGUAAAAGCACUAAGCACUUGGUGCUUAAAAGUUUUCCGUCAUUAGAUCUAGCUUUUUUACCAUUUCCAUAUGUUAGAUCAUACUAUGCAACCAACCACACACUCAUCCCUAAGGGACCACUAUCAUUCUAAUCGUACAUUCCUUAAUCCAAGGGCUGAAAACCUACAAGCACCAAUGACUUUGUACUUUUAAAUUAUAUGAGCUCAAUUCUAUAUAUAUAGAAUGAGGCAACUAUACUAUCUAGCAUCUAUAAUACCGGAGCUCUAAUACAAUAGUCUCGUUUUCGAUCUUAGGGUGUUCAAAGCAAUGAUCCACACCAUCAAAUUUGAUCUAGGAUAUAUGAAGUUCUUAGGAAUAAAACUUUAAUAUUUUUCAACAUCGUUUACUUAGUAAAUAAAUCAUGUCAAAAUGAACAGUGGAAAUUGAACAAUCUUUAAAAUUCGAGAGUAGGACUUUUGAAUUCAAAAUCAAGAAUGCUGCCCUUGAUCUAAAUAGUUUAAAUUAUUUUCUAUCAAAAUUUGAAUAAAUUUAGAUUUUUCUACUCCGUUAAACUACAAACUCGCCAUAGUAGCCAUUGAAAAUUGACAAGUUUGACUGAUUGUCCUUAGCGCAAGUGGCAAAGGGCUUGGUGGUUGGUACCCGAGGUCAAGGUUUGAAGUGCCCGUCGGCACGGACCGUAUCCACCGUGCCGUACCGUCCCAACAAGAUGCCGGCACGAUACAAACCCCGUGCCGAUGGCACAGCUCAAAACCCUCUAUUUUUUAAAUUAGUAAGUAAUUUCCUCAAUAAAGUUCAAAAGAUGUUAUCAAAAGACAUAAUAAAUAGUUAGAAUAUUUUGUUGCUAAAGAAAAUAAAUAUUUCAUGCUAUUAUGUGUCGGCACAUAAGAAUUUUUUUGACCGGCACGCAUCGGCACAGCUCGGCACGCACCGUGUUGUGCCUUGUCGGCAAGUUUCUGGGAUUCCGGCACUACCUCGUGCCACGGCACUUAAAUCCUUGCCCGAGGUCCCAAGUUCGAAUCCUAGUUGAUUCACAUUUCUAGCUAAGUUUAAAUGAAAUAAACAAAGCAGGUAGCAUGCUACCUAUCUCUCAAAAAAAAAAAAAGACAAGUUUGAAAUGGUUUGAUCAUAAAGUAAACUAUGUUGAAAAAAUAUAAAAUUUUAUUUCUAAAAAUUUCAAAUACCCUAGAUUAGUUUUAACGGUAUGGAUCGUUGAUUUGAACACCCUAAGAUCGAAAACGAGACUAUAGUACCGGAGGCCCGGUACUAUAGAUAGUAUAGGAGCCUGGCUCAUAUAUAUAUAUAUAUAUAUAUAUAUAGAGAGAGAGAGAGAGAGAGAGAGAGAGAAAGAGAGAGAGAGAGUUGAGCUAGAAAACUAUCGAUAUUAAACGAGCCCUGUUACUACCGAUUUGUUUUCGAUGAUAGAGCUUCCAAAUUGACGAUCGGCUNAGUGCCUCCAAAUCGACAAUCGGCACCGUUGAACAUGAUCUAUAUCACUUGAAGUGUUUAGAAAUCAAAUUUCAUACAUUUCCGAUAUUAUUCUCUUAUCCAUCGAGUAGACACAAAAAUGAACGGCUGAAAAUGAAUAUUCUUUAAAAAAUGAUGAUAGGAGUCUUGUAAUCAAGAUCAAGAGUAUAGAUCUUGUUUUAUAUAGUUUAAAAAAUUUUCUAACAAAAAAUCAAUUGGUUUAGAUAUCUUUAUGCCGUUAAACGAGAAAACGCCUCAUAUCGACCAUUAAAAUUACAAAUUUUGAAACCCUUUGAUCAUUAGGCAAAUGAUGUCGAAAAGAUUUGAAAUUUGAUUUCUAAACACUUCAACUAGUAGAGAUCAUGUUCAACGGUACCGAUCGUCGAUUUGGAGGCUCCAUCAUCGAAAACAAAUGGGUGGCAACGGAGCCCGUUUGCUAUCGAUAGUAUUCUAGCUCAACUGUAUAUAUAUAUAUACAUAUAGCCACCUUUUCAAACAUUGCUGACUAUUUUCUAUUCUACGGAAAGUGAUAAGCACAAUGCGCACAGAAAUUUAUCUUACCAACAAACCAUAUAAAUCACAAAAAUGAUAGAACUCAGGCCUCUCUGCCAAUCCACCACCCCAGCAGCGGAGCAUGUUAAAAUUCAUAUACGCAUGAAAUUUAAUAUCAGCCAUGUAUCGUUUCUUUGUAAGUCUUAGUAGUCCAUCUGACAAUAUCCAGUUCCCUCCACGAAUAAAAACACGUUGCCCAUUCACCUUGAAUAAUCUGCACAUCUGUAUGUUAGUUUCCAAUAUUUUUACAAGUAGAAGUUAUUAAUGUAUAAGCUUCUGGAAUGAAUUAUUACCUUCCACCAGUAGCUUCAUCGAUCGUGCUCUCAAUCUUGCGAAACCCAAAGUAGUGAUUCCAUGAAUCAGACUCUCCAACUCCUUUUACAUCAACUGUUAUAUUAACAUUGUAUAAAGAUUGCUUUCCCAUUCCAUUUGGCCACCAUAAAUUGGGCUUGUAGAAGAAGAGCUGCAUGUAGUUAUAAAUUACUACCACACUGAGCUAACAGCAACGGGAAAAACAAUGGACACAAUUUUCAGGAUAAGGUCAUCAAAUUUUAAAUAUGUGACAAGGAACUCUGCCCCAUUCACUUCAAUUCUCAGCAUAAGAUAGUUGCUUAAGUGCAAGAUCUCGAACUAGAAACCAAGGUUUUAAGUGCCCGUCGGCACGGGCCGUAUCCACCGUGCCGUACCGUGCCAACAAAAUACCGGCACGAUACAGACCCCGUGCCGAUGGCACAGCUCAAAACCCUCUAUUAUUUAAAUUAGUAAGUAAUUUCCUCAAUAAAGUUCAAGAGAUGUGAUAAAAAGACAUAAUAAAUAGUUAAGAUAUUUUGUUGCUAAAGAAAAUAAAUUUUUCAUGCUAUUAUGUGUCGGCACAUAAGAAUUUUUUUGACCGGUACGCAUCGGCACGGCUCGGCACGCACCGUGCCGUACCGUGCCGGCAAGUUUCCGGCACGACCUCGUGCCACGGCACUUAAAUCCUUGCUAGAAACCACCCAACAGGUAUCACUAGUCAUGGCCUAGUUUUUUUUUCACAAGACAGCCAACUAUUGUCUGGUGACACAUCAGAAGUUUGCACAAGAUCAGCUCAUGAAAAAGUUGGACAUAUUUAUUAAUGGACUAACAACUAUUUAGCUCAGGCAAGAAUUUAAGUGUCCAUCGACACGGGCUGUAUCUACCGUGCCGUAUCGUACCGACAAAAUAUCGGCACGAUAUAGCCCUCGUAUCGAUGGCACAACUCAAAACCCUCUAUUCUUUAAAUUAGUAAGUAAUUUCUCAAUAAAGUUCAAAAAUUUGAAAAAAGUACAUAAUAAACAAUUAGAAUAUUUUAUUGCUAAAACAAAUAAAUAUUUCAUGCUAUUAUGUGUCGGCACACAUGAAUUUUUUGUGACCGGCGCAUAUCGGCACGGUCCGCCAUGCACCGUGCCGUACUGUGCCAGCAAAUUUCCGGCACGAGCCCGUGCCACGGCACUUAAAUCCUUGAGGUCAGGUAUGAUUAUCAGGUAGUGGAUGCAUGACGAAUCAUAGCAUCCUCCUAAUCUCCAAAAGUUUUUUGUUAAGGAUGAAAUAACCUUCUAGUGUAAUGUGGCUGCCCGUAUUGCAUACAGGCACUUCGAGGUGUACACGAAUCAGGGUAACACAGAAUAAUCACUUUUUUUACAUGCUGUUUCAGUGCUUUCAGUAAAGGACUUGGGCCUUGUGAAUGCUUCACCUACAAUAGCCACUUUGAGUGCUUUAGAGCUUCAGAAAUGCAAAAGCGCUUUUCAAGUUUCAAGCCCAACUCUUCUAACGUCACUGAUCACAUCUCAUUAUCACAUCUCCUUUGCACUGGCUGUCGUAAGCAAAGCAUUCCAGAAGCUCUUAUGAAGUAUCUGACACUCAGAAAGCAUGUAUUGCACGAGUAAGGUAUCAAAUACAUAUCCUAAAUGGACACUGCAGUUAAAAGUAUCUGUGCAUCAUACCUAGGAGCUAUUGCUGGAAUUACCCAUUGUCAUCCAGUGGAAUUCAUUAACAUCAUCCAUGUUUUGCCUUUUUAUUUUAAGCAAGUUUAUUAAAAAUCUAUUUUUGACGGAACACACCAAUGUGAAUCUAGUCUAGCAUAAGGAAAGAAGGAUGACUGGUUGUAGUGAAACAAACUCAGCGCAUCUUGGUCCUCAUCUCAUGCUAGGUGGGGUUGGCUAUAUAAAUCUUCCAGAAUCCAGAUUAUUGAAUUCUUCAGAGAUCCAUCAAAUGAAUAUUAUUUUGGCACUCAUUCUACUUCAAGAUAAUGCCUUCUCCCAGAACUUCCUAAUCACCACUACUAGAUGGUUUUUAAGAUAAUUAAGUUUCCAACUUGCAUCAUCUUGCUCUUUCUAUGAAAGAAGAGAUGGGUUUCCAAAAGAAAUAGGUAAAGCAAAGCUUUCCCCAAUCAGACAGGAAAAAAAGAAGAGGUAGCCUGCAUAGAGUUAGUUUACCCCCAGAAAUUUUAGGAAUUAAAUUGCUUGAAAUUAAAAAUGAUUCAAAUAUGAAAUAUUUAGGAUAAAGAAGUUUAAGUUAGGCAUGAUAUGAUUAGGUAUAUAAUAAACAAUUCUAUAUUAUUUUAAAUUCAAUGAUUGAUCAAUGAACCUUAAGUUCUGCUUAUGAAUGGAACUUACGUUAAUCCAACUAUUGGGCUGAGCCCGAAUAUAGUUAAUCGAUAUUAUGAAUUUGAUUUGUCUGGGAAUCAAUCGUUGGGAUAACAUUGGAUCUCUGAAAUCAACUCCAAACCAUACAAAAUUCAGUGUUAACUAAUUGGCAAUAGUUCAGGUUUAUAUUCGUAAUUUGGAAGUAAGACGACUAACGGAUAAGUGUAAGUUUACUUAGAUGCAAGUUUAGCUCACCAGGGUGAUUUGACUCUUCUAAGCAACAUUUUAUCUUGUAAAUUGAACCCAAUUGAAAAAAAAAAAAAAAAAAAAAAAAAAAUUAUAUAGCCAAUAUCAAAAGAUUGAGAGACAGAGCCAAUUGUAAUGACACAGUCCACUAGCACCAACUUGUUGGGCCCUAACUACUGGCCCAAAACACUGCAGGCCCAAUUACUAAUACUAGACUGUUUAGUCCUUGUAUACCCAGAUACAAUACUUUUUCAAUCCAAUACAGGACUAUUAGGAUGCUACAAACUUCCCCCCUCUAGACCCUGACAUGAUUAUCAUGUCCAAUCACAAUAUAGAUCAGGAUCUCUACGUGAUGUGAAAUUCUAGCACCGAGUUUUCACACUUCCGACUAGUAACUACUUUGACACCAUAUGGAAUGACCCAGUCCACUAGCAUUAUUAACUUGCUGGGGACAAACCACCUACCUAAAAUGCUUAAGCCCAAGUUACUAAUACAAUUAGAAUGCUAGUCCUUAUAUGACUAGACACGAUCCCUUUCUAUCCAAUUUGAGACUAAUUCUAGAGUGCUUAAACCCUUCUCUUAAGUUGUCCUAUCCGCCAUGAUGGUAAAAACCAAUGUAAAAACUAGGUCGAACCGGCUAGUUUGACCAGUCCUACCAUGACCCAGUCUAUAAAGCGGUUCGGUUAAACCCUUUAGACAGGAUAGUCAAAAAACCGCUUUGAAGCAUUUGAACAGGUGGUUCAACCAUUAAACCAGUGAACCAGUCCGGUUUUAAUCAAACUAGGGCGGGUUGUUUUUAUCAAGUCAUAUGAAGAUCCAACGGCUUAAAAUCAACUUAGCUUAGAAUCAACAGUUUACUUUUUGAUGUGGAUUGUUAGGAAUGUAAGAAUGUAAACUCAGACAAAAUGUUUAAACUCUUAUGUGGUAAAAAUUUGAAUAGGUAUAUGGAUCCAUAUACAAGCUAGACACAUCUACAUCUACAUCCAUGUCUAACUAAGCUCGUAUAUGAAUAUCAAAUUUAAAGGGUAUUGUACUAUUGUCUAAUCAUCUUUUUCAGAUCUUGCAGCACUAUCAUGCUUGGAAUAGAGUACAUUUCUUGAAUCAUCGAUAACAUGGCUAAAAUAUGGUUAAAACAAUGUUCCACUAAACCCGCAAUUUGGAGAAUAAGAAGAUACACGUACUUACUGGAGGAAUUGUAUACUGAACAACUGAGGAAGGAGGAAUGGAUAAUUCAUAACUUCGAAGAUGCUCCACCAAGCAAAUGUUUCCCUCUAGUUCAUUUGAGACUUGAAUACUCAAUGAACACUCUGCAAGCCAUGAACUUUGGUUUUGCAAUUCAACAGUUGUAUGCAGGUAGGACCUCUUAAAAUCAUCAAAGAACGAUGACACCAAGUGAGGAUCAGAUAUCUUCACAGGCUGCAUUGAAGAUUGAACUUGUAUGAGAAAUAUGUAUUAGCACCUAAUUUCAUCCAUUAACUUGGAAUAUAUUUUGCUCAUUUGAACUAAUUCUUUGACUGAGGUAUCAGGCAGUCAACGGAAACUCACCCCAGUAAUGGAAAUUGAUACUUCAUCCCAGAUCCCAGUGUUCCUAUCCCUGCGUUAUCAUGAAAAACAAGCGGAUUGUGAAUAACAAGUUUCUCACAAAAUGCAUUUUCAAUAUGCCAACAGAAAUUAACUCAAGCCACUUGCUCCAUUCAAGAGAUGCCAAAACCGACUAAAAUGAUGUAAUAACCUAAAAUUUUUAGUUCAAGUUUUGUUGGGUUUAACUGUUUUUUGUCCAGUUUAUUCAGCUGAAGAAAUUUUUCUUCAUGUCAUGUUCCGGAACAUGGUUUGAAGUUUUAGAACAUGACAGAACUCCCUCUUGGCAAAAGUUUCAGCCUCUGCAGAACUCGAGAGGAAGUUUCGAAAAUUGGGCAUGUUCCAGAAUUCCAGAACAUGAUCUGCAGAGUGUGUGCGUGAGUGAUCUGCAGAGUGUGUGCGUGAGUGGGUGGGUGUGAACCAUGAUGUGGAAAAGUGAGGAGUGUAUUUGCAACUAUCCACCUGUACUAUAAAUAUUCCCUUAGCUAGCCCUAGCCUCUUUUUCCUCUUUUCGCCUCUUUGAGUGCUCUCCCUCUCUUCCUCUCCUUCACUUCCACUCUCACCCUCAGUCAGCUGUUCACCCUCCCAAUUGCCGUUCGUCAUCAAUCUCUCUCUUGGAGGUCUCUCCCAACUGAGAUCUACUUCAUCCUUCACUCCUCUGGACUCUUGCGCGAAAGCCUCCACCAUAACAUCUCAACUCAUCUUGUCCUCCCCACCAUAGAUUGGUACCCAUUUCAUUUCAUACUUUGUUUUGGUUAUGCUUUCUGGUGAUUUCUUGGGUAUAUUGCCUCGUUAGGGUGUUAGGAAGCCUAAAUAUUUUUCCUUUUGAAUCUCUUAGAAUCCAUUGUUGUUUCUCAAAACCAUAGAGGCUGAAAUGUUAGAUCUUUGAUUUCGAUUGCAGGUUCUUGAUGCUUCAUGUAUAUCUUAGCUAUCUUGAGCUUUUGGAGUGGUUAAAUGGCUUUUUUGGGUUUGAUUUCUUGGAAAUCUACUUCAACUAAAGUUUUUGUUGUUUUCGUGGUGUUCUGAAACCUUCUAUUCAUGUUUCGGAACAUAGUAGGGUGGCCUGAGAGACAAAGCCCUCUGUCUUUGCAGAACCUGACAUGAGGUUCCAGAACCUUAUGCCAUGUUUCGACACCUCAUGUCAAGUUCCAGAAUCUGCCACUCUCAUAUCUAUUUUGGAUCCAGAAUAUGUGCCUUAGGGUUUUUAGGCCCUAAAUUGUGACAUAUUGACCUUGUACUCAUUCUCCUUGGUAGUGUUUGGUUCUGGAACAGGGGGAAUAAGCCCUUGUUUUCCCCCUUUGUUUCCAAACGAAAAUUUUCGUACCUGAGAACAAUAGUUCUCAAGCCCCUGGAAUAAACUGGUAUAACCCGGUAUAAUGCUGGAACUGUUGCUCCACCCUUUUUCUAGAACAAGAUUGUUCCCAAGUGGUUAAUUAAAGCCUAAAUUUAUUUUUAAUUAUGGUAUUAAAUCAUUAAUUAAUUUAAUUAAUAUAUUUAAAUCAUUAUCCAUUGCUUAAAUAAUAAAGAAAUUAAUUAAUUUAUUACUUAUAAUUAAUUAGCUAAUUAAUUAUUUUAUCUAUAAACUAAUAUUUAUAUUAAUCAACCAUUAAUAUUUUUAUUAAUCUAAUUAAUUUUUUUACUAGUUAUGUAACUAAAAUAAUUUACUAACUAAUUAAAAAGUUAAAUUAUUUUUUAUAUUUAAUUAAUUAAUAUAUUUUCAUUAUCUUAUACAAUAUCCAUAGGGUAAAUUGCAUUGUUACCUUCUGAACUUUUGGCGAAGUUUCACUUUACCCCUCGAACUGCUAAAAUGGACAUCUAACACCCUAAACUCUAAUAUUUCAUUCAUGUUACCCCUUCCAUCAGUUUUCCGUCAAGCUCCGUUAAUUGAAAACUGACGGAAGGGGUAAAACGAAUAAAAUAUUAGAGUUUAGGGUGUUAGAUGUAAGGGAAUAAGGUGUCGCCCCGUGUCGUACGGCACGGGGCGUGCCGUACCGUGCCCCCAAAAAGAGGGCACGAUACAGGGGGGGUCUCGGAUCCCCCCCAUGUGCCGCGGCACACCUCCCGUGCCGCUCGAGACAAAGCGGCACAGGUUCAGGUGUCGCGGCACUGUGCCGCAUGCCCAGCCAUUGUUUUUUUUUUUUGCUUGGCUUUUGUUUUUUUGUUUGCUUUUGCUUUUUUUUUCUCUUUGGAUAUGCUUUUGCUGUGGCCCACAGUCACAUGCCCACAGCCUAAGUUUUUUUUUUGUCUUUUUCUUUGGCAUUUGGGUUGCUAUGGGCAUCUGUCACAUGGCCACAGCCUAAGUUUUUUUUUUUUUGUCUUUUUCUUUGGCAUUUGGGUUGCUGUGGGCAUCAUGUCACAUGCCCACAGCGUAAUUAAAUUUUGUUGUCUUUUUAUUUGGUCUUUGGGUAACCCAAAGGCCAAACAACUAUAAUGCAAAGGCUGUGAGAUACUGAGAUUAUAAAUUCAUGCAAGAGCUUCCUGACCUCCGUGCCCAUCUUUCUUUCCUUCGUAUUCUUUCUUCCCCUUUCUUUCUUUUGCCAGUGCUUAGCAGCCUUAGCUAUCUUCUCCUCUCUCUUUUUUCUUUUCAGUUCUUACAUAUCUUCCUAAAAUUAUUUUUGUCCUCUUUUUUUCGUCGCUUGAAAAGAAGGCAAAGACAUUUCAUAUCGCAGAUUUGCUAGUUAGGUAAGUCAAAAAAUUAUAAUUUAAAUUUUUUUAUUUAUAAAUAUAGGGGCUAAUUUUUAAUUGACAUAUCUGAUCCAGCACAGACAUCCACUUUCUUUUCGCAAAUUAUUUUAUCAAAAUUUCUCGCACCGUGAAGCGUUCGGCGAAUCAGGGUAAACAACAUCAAUCAUAAUUUCCUUUUUUGCAUUAGAAGAUAUAAAAUAUUGAUAAAAUUAAAAGCUAAAUGAAAUCAAUUGAUAUUUAAGUUUAUUUAAUUUAUUUGUCAUUUAGUUUAUUGCUAUUUCUUUUGAUGAUCUAACAAUUUUUCAAAAAAAAUUAAUAAAAAAAUAUUUAAAAAUAAUUACAAAAAUAAUUUUAAAAUUAUGUUUUUAUAUCUUAUAAAAGAAAGGCAGUAAUACGAUCAAAAGAAAUAGCAAAAAAAAAGAUGUCUUUGUAUUUUGAAAAUUAUAACCUGCAAUAAUUUUAAAAAAAUAAUAUAAAUAAAUUUAAAUUAAUUUAAGAAAAUAUAAUUUUUAGGAAACUAUUUCGCUAACUUUGUAUUUUAUACUAUAUUUUUCUGGAAUAGAUUUUAUUUUAUUUGUUUGUAUGUCAAUAAUUAUAGAUCAUAAUGGCACCUAAACGAUCAGAAGAUUAUGGUUGGCAACAUGGACAAAUGAUUGAUACGAAUAGGUUUCAUUGGAAGUGCAAUUAUUGUAAUAUGGUCAGAAUGGGUGGAGGUGUCACUCGCCUAAAAAAACAUAUUGCUGGGGAUUUUUCUUAAGUAUCGAACUGCCCUAAAGUCCCUCAGGAAAUAAGACAUGCAAUGAAAAUUGAGUUAGAAUCUUCAAAAUUAGCAAAAAAGAAAGUAAGAGAUGAUCGAGAUGAACUAGAUAAACGAGCGACAGAAUAUCCCCUAUUGACCCAUAUGAAAGUAUAGGUGAUGAAUUAGAUGCUGAUACUAGAGCUGCCAUGGAAGCAUCUGCACAAGAAAGAUGGCAGCAAGAUGAAGUCCAACGACAUAGAACACAAUUUGGACGCUCUUAGUUUGAUGCCGGUGGUGGGUCUGGGUCUGCACCAUCUGGUUUAGCUCGCAGUGGUUCUGUUAGCCGUUUGUUCGACAGAUUUAAAAAAGGACCAAAAAAAAAAAGUGGAAGACAUCCAAAUAUUAUAGAUAUAAACCCAAUGGCAUUUCCACACUCAGAUGCUCAACAGCAGCGUAUAGAUACAAUGUUAAAAAAAGAUAAAAAAGGUAGAAUUGGUAGAGCAAUAGCAAAGUUUUUUCACUUUAGUCAUAUUCCUUCCCAUGCAGCAAGUACUCCAUAUUAUAGAUCAAUAAUUGCUACCAUACAAAAAGAAGGUCAAGGAGUUGAACCCCCAACGCCGUAUGAGAUCUCUGGCAAAUACCUUGACGCCGAGGUCAAUGAUAUUCAUGCAUUGGUAACAAACUUGAAACAGCUGUGGGAGAUGUAUGAUGUGACUUUGAUGUGUGAUAGUUGGACAGGACCAACAAAAAUGAGCAUUAUAAAUUUUUUAAUUUAUUGUAAUGGCAAGAUGAUCUUUCACAAAUCAAUCGAUGCAACCGGUCGAUUUGAAGAUGCUGACUAUAUAUAUGCAUUAUUGGAACAAGUGUUAAGUGAGAUUAGUGAGAAAUGUGUGGUACAAGUUAUAUCGGACAAUGGUGCAAACUUUAAGAAAGCUGGCAAACUAUUAAUGCAAAGGCAUCCCCAUUUAUUUUGGACUCCUUGUGCAGCGCAUUGCAUCAACGUAAUGAUGUCUGACUUUGAUGAGAUAAAUCGGGUAAAAAAAACUGUAAAUACUGCACAACAUAUAUCUAAGUAUUUGUAUAAUCAUCUUUGGGUCCAUACUUUAAUGGUGAAAUUCACAGGACGAGAACUCGUACGUUCUGGUAUCACACGAUUUGCAACAAAUUUUAUUGCUCUAAACAGUAUCCUUCAAAAUAAAAAUGGAUUAAAGUCCAUGUUUGCAUCAGAUUAAUGGCAAACAUCUCGUUAUGCCUCCACGGCUGAUGGAAAAUCGAUUGAGCAAAUAAUUAUGUCUACCAAGUUUUGGGAUUAUGUGAAAGAGAUUGUUGAUAUUGUGGAGCCGCUAUAUGUGGUCCUCCGUUUAGUGGAUCAGGAAAAAAUACCUCAAAUGGGACAUGUUUAUUAUAAACUGAGGAUGGCUAAAGAUAAUAUUAAAAAAAAUAAUCCACUACGGUGCCAAUCUUUUCUAAAAAUUAUUGACAGACGUUGGGACGUCCAGAUGAGCCGGGAUCUACACCUAGCAGGUAAGUUAUAAAUUAUAACAAAACUAUUUAUUACUGAUUGUUCAUUAGUAGUCUUGUAUUGUUAAUGGAGUGAUUUCUUUCUUAAUGAUAGGUUAUUAUCUUAAUCCGUCGUACCAUCAUCGUUAUAAUCUUGGAUUUGAUGAUGAACUGUUGAAGGCAUUACGAAACGUUAUCAAUAGAUUGGAGAGGGAUCCAACACAUGCUGCUCUUGCCAUAAGUGAGGUAUAAUAUUUUUUCAAUGUAUUAUUAGUUUGCUAGAUGUUAAUAUGCUGAUUUCUAAUUAUUAUACUAUCAUAAUAAAGGGAAAAAUAUUUCGUGAAUCCUCUGGAACUUUUGGUGAAGCGGAUGCAAUUAACGGAAGACACAAUACCGAUCCCAGUAAGUAACUCCAUAAUUUAGAUAGUUUACAACUGACGACAAAUCUUAUUUGAUAUAUUUUUAACUUUUAAUUGUACAGCUGAGUGGUGGCUACAAUAUGUGUAACAAAGUGAAUUCUCGAAAUCCGAGAGUUGCACUUCGUCGAGGAUCGACUAAUGGUCGAGUGAGUACCCUUCGGAGAAGUUAUGGAUGCACGAAACCCUAAAAGUGCAUUGGAAUGGAGUCCGCGAGAGCAGAGAUGCAGAAUCUGCAUCUUAAGCAGAUUUGCUCUCGGGGACCGAUCUCUGGCAGGAGAGACCGGUCCCAUCGGCUGAGGGUUGCGGGGUUGCUGAUGCAACCGGUCCCUGGCAGGGAAGGACCGGUCCCCGCAGGCGACACCAGCGAGAAUGGCCAAAAAUUGGCUAAGUCCCGCGAGACGAGCUCUCGGGGACCAGUCUCUGGUGGGCAGACCGGUCUCCGGGGGACCGGUCUCCCAGGGAGAGACCGGUUCCCGAACGCGUGGAAAAUGGGAAGGUCCUCUGGGACCGGUCCCAUGUCGGGGAGACCGGUCCCUCCGCGCGAGUUCAGCCCAGUGAGGGCCAGUUGAGAGAUGGAAAGUUGAGGGGCUUCUUAGCAUUUUGUUACAAUAUGAGAGGGGAUUAAGAGAGGGUUUCUCUCUCUCUUUCUCUCACUCCCUCACUCUCCCACCGCCUCCUCUCUCUCUCUGUGCGUGAAGAAGAGGGAAAAGAAAAAAGGAGAAGAAGAAAGAGAAGGAAAAGAGAAGAAAGAAAGAAGAAGAAGGAGAAGAAGACUAAGAAAGAGAUCUUCAUCCUCUUCUUCGUCUUCCUCGUGCUUGGAGCAACCUAGAGAGGUAAGCGCUUUGCCUCCUCUCAUGGAAAAUCUUUAAGGAGGGGAUUUUAAACCCUAGAAAUGGUAUUUUUGGUACCCUAGCAUGCUAUCUAGAUGGCUUAUACCCAAAUCAUGAAGGGAUUUGAGGGAUUUGGUAGUAAUAGCAUCUAGGGCAUCCAAAAUGGGGUUUUGUGAUUUGGGAGGGUUUGAUCUCAUUUGACCCUCUGUUAACCUAAUUGAUAGGUAACGAAACGCGUUGGCGAAGUCGGUUCAGCAAUCCGACAAGCCGUUACAAAGAUAUCGAAGAAACGGACGUUUGGAGCUUCGUUUCCGCCUGAAAGGCCGAGGCGACGUCCAUAAAUCGCGAUGUCGAUUUCCGAGCGCCAUAACAGCAAGGCGAAGACCUUUAACUCUUGAAACGGCGAAGCGACGCGCUAUUGGAGUGCAACUACAAGAUCGGGCCCAAACGGGUGCCGAGUGCCGUGGGAGGCCGAUUGCAAGUGUCGACGAGCAAUCGGAAGGCUAGCUAAGGUGGGUUGUGCUUACCGAAGCGACUAGGUCGCCCUUUAUGUCUAAGAUAAUUAAGAAUCCAUGUUGAUGCAUAUAAAUAUAAAUAAAGCAUGUGGAUGAUGCACGUAGCUAAAGCUAAGUAAUGCAUGUUAAUAAUAUGAUGCAGAUGCUAAGUAGACGCAUAUAAGUUGAUAUAGAAAUCAUAGAAUGCAUGAUUAGCAUUGUGAGAAUAUGCUAGGUAGAUAUGCAUGUGAACUAGAUGAUAACUCUAGAAAGAGUAGAGUUGAUUGACAUGAGAACUUAUGGUACUCGAUUGGACAACUAGGAUGUCAGGUAGAUCGAGUGGCACCUAACCUAGUGUUGAAGAACAUAGGUUAAAUAAGUAAACCUAGAGUCGAACAAGUCUAGGUGUGUGGCAUCGAACCUAAUGUUAGUAAACAUAGGUCGAACAAGUGAACCUAGAGGUUGACAUCUAGGCAGAGAUGAGAUAGAACCUAGCGGUUUUACCUAGGUCAUGUUUGUGAUAAACCUAGAGUGAAGUUAAACCUAGGUUGUUGAGUAUAGUGGUAUUAGCCACUAGAUGUUCUAGGUCGACAGCAUAGGGUUGGUUAUGGACCCUUGACCUGUGGAAAGUGGAUUCCGGAAUCCCAAAACCUGUGAUGACCCUGGUAUCAAGGCUAGGGCGUGUGCAACGAUUUCGCCGCCGAGGUUGAUACCGAGGGAGGAUUGGGGCCAAUCACAUGGAGAUCACCGCUCGGGGCUUGGACCAUUAACGUGGCAUGUGCGACGAUUUCGCCGCUGGAUGGUUAAGCCGAUUGUGGAUCAGACCGCCAGGAUUGACUGAAACCAUUGCUGGGUAAGUACGAUAUGGGUGCCGCCAGGUGGCUGAGUCGUUACUGAAACCAUUGUUGGGUGAGAUGCGAUUAGUUCGCCGCCAGAUGGAUAGGUCAUGACUUGAGUCCUCGCUAGGUAAGUGCAACGUGUUCGUCGCCAGAAUGGCUGUCACGCCCCGAGACCGCUACCAAUUUGGUCCGGCCCGGGCGCGUCGAACAGACGCCGAACGGACAGGACCUCCCCUGUCCGCCCAAGGCAACCAACAGAUCAUGUAUGAGAAUUUACCCAGGAAUUCAAUUCAAUAAUACACGAUCAAGAAGCACCACCAGUGCGACAAACAAGAGCAAGAUACAAGUAUAGAAACAUAUACAUGUACAUAAAGAGAGAAGAGCUAUCUAUUACAUUCAUUUGACUUAACUCAUUCAAUUACAUCUUUUACAUUCUUCCAAAAUAUAAAUACAAUCACUCCACCUCACCCUAUACAACAUCUACUCUCAAAUACAGAAAGGGUGAUGGCUAAUGCAAAAAGGGAGGUAGCUAAUGCGACUAAAACGCCGGGCCCAUACCGCGAUCCUCGCGCUCACCGGGGACACCCGAACUGGAACCUGUAGUAAAAUGGGGGUGAGAACUAACUUCCUUAGUUCCCAGUGGGUUCGGCCGCCGACUCCGCCGAUCUCCCCACUAGGUCCAAGCGGGCACGAAAUAGAUAUCGAUAGAUAGAUAGAUAAGGAACCGCGUAGAUGACAGAAGUAAAGCUACUCUACUAUGCCAUAUAAUAUAUGAUGCAUGUACAAUGAAAUAGGUAAUCAGCUAACCGUUAUCAUGUCAAAGAUGAAGCUAUUCACUCGAUUGUUACCUCAUUCCACUUGUUUUCAUCAAUCUCGUGGCGUUACCCGAGGCUCGCUACAGCUCACUAGCCAUCUCGACACGUAGGAGAUUCACUCACACUGCGGACCCGAGACGCUGGCGGCCAUAUAGCAAUCCCUGGCGUGACCAACAUCCGGAGCGCACUACUUGUGUGGGCUUCCAUCACAAGAUUUAACAGACCGUGAGCAUGAUCCCAUUCUCUUAAGCUGAGGAUACCUAUCCUCUAGGGUCACAAACAUCAUUAGUCCAUAGGUUCAUAUACACUAUGAUCUCACAUGUGUGUCAUUUGUUUUUUGCUUACUAUCAAACUAAAUGCCACUCGUCCAUUGUUUACUAUCGACUAAGAAUGCCACUCGUUCUUUGUUCAUCAUUUUCUCUACAUUAUAGGGUCACAAGACUCGACCCAAUCCUCACCAAUCCUCUAUAUCCAAUAUCCAAUAUCAUGCACAAUAUCAUCAAGGAGCAUAAGGAAAGGCAAUGCAUAAUAAUCCUAUAAUAUAAUCAUACAAAGAUGCAAGGAUCAAAAUAUCUAAGACAUAGGAGGGAGCCCGAUUGCUUCGCGGAUGGACACCACCCACCUCUGGCAUGCGCGAUGAUAGAAAUCGACGUUGCGGUCUUUGCACGUCGCUUCAACUCCUCGGGCGAAGCGAGCCUCGAGUACCCAAUUCGGCGAUAACUCCGCAUCGUUCUGUCGAUCGGCAAACCGUCUUCGCCGACGCCGUUUCCAAGACCUGGGCAAUCUAGGUUUAUGACCUAUUAAAAUAGAUCAAAACCCUAGAUUUCCCAAAAUCCCAAUCCGUGCCAUAGAAUGGCAACGGGGAAGAAAUUCGUGGUUGCGAGCUUCAAUUGCGAGCUCGAACCUUCCCCUAGUCUCAUUGUAGGUCCGUAUUCGAACCAUCUAUAGCAACAAAUCCAAAACCCUAAAACAUCCAUUAAAGGGUUUAGACUUACCUCUCUUCAAGACUCCUUCAAGCUUGAGGGAGAGGAGAAAAAGAAGAUGUCUUCUUCUCUUCUUCUUCUUCUUAGUCUUUUCUCCUUCCUCUUUCUUCUUCUUCCUCCUUCUUCUCCUUCCUCUCUUCUCUUCGUCCUUCUUCCUUUCUUUUCUUUUCUUUCCUAGAGAGAGAAAGGAAAAAGUGAGGAGAGAGAGAGAGAGAGAGCAACUUGAGGGUGAGAGAGGGGUCCCCAAGCCCUAUUUAAAGGCCAUUUUGAGCUAAGCCCCCUCCACUUUUCAUUUACUGAUUCAGGUCCGCUUCGGUAUUUUCGCAGCGAGGGACCGGUCCCAGUUCGGGAAGACCGUCCCGAAGGCUGCAUUUCGGAGACAGGGAAUUCCGCGUCGGGAACCGGUCCUUGCCUGAGAGACCGUUCCCGGGAGACCGGUCCUUGUCCGAGAGACGGUUCCCGAGAGCUGCAUUCUCGGGACUUAGCCAAAUUUGGCUAAGUCUCGCCAGGCCAACGUCGGGCACCUGUCCUGCCCACCAGGACCGGUCUCAUCAGAGACCUCCGCCAACCAACGCCUGAUGGAACCGGUCCCUUCCUGCAGUCAGGGACCGUCCCGAGAGCAUUUCUGCUCCAGUGCAAAUUUUGCACUGGUGCUCCCACGGACACCUUCCUUAAUGCACUUUAUGCAUUAUAAACCCUUCGGACUUUCGAAGCCUACGCACUCGACGAAUAGUCGAUUCUGGUCGAAGUCUAAUCCUCGAGUUUCGAGAAUUCACUUCCUUACAAUGGCUAUGUCUAAGACUUGAGCCGGGUUCAUCGCGUGUCGACAACUUUUGCCGCUAAGAAGCUAAGAUCAGCAGAGCGGUAGGCUGUUGAGCACAGUGCGCGGACUAUCCGGCGGAUGAUUGACUCGAAGCCGAGUCGGGUGGUUAGCUUCGAUAAGGUAGUGGAACCCUUAUGAGCUAGAGAUAGAGGCUUGGGCUAAGGUAAUAGAGACCUUAGUAGCCAGUGGACUUGAGUUAGAUCCUACGGUAAUAGAAACCUUAGAUUGAAUGAUAAGAGCUAAAAGUAGCCAAGUGUAGAAUCAAUUGAUCUACUAGUUGUUGCAUAGAGUUGCAUGAUUUUCAUAUCGCAUAUCGUGAGGCAUGGCAUAUAUUUCAAUUGAAUAUAUAUAUAUCUGUUGUAUAUUGUUGAACUAACAUGUUGCAGUGCCUCCUCGGACCUAUUGGUCGAGCUUUUCCCUUGGGUGGCCGUACCCACUGGAAACCAUGGAGUUGGUUCUUACCCCACGUUGUUUUGGGGUGUUACAGGUUCGCACGUGAGCGGCGCGAGGAAAGGGUGUAGCUCCGUAGAUAGCGCCCUACCCCAGAGACCAGAGCUAGCAGUACCCCGAGUCAGCAGGGCCUAGGGCUUAGAAUGGAAUGACAACAACCAACUUGUAUUAAAUGUAAUAAUGUGAUUGUAUUUCGAAGUUAAGCAAAUGUAAAAAAAAAAUAUUGUAUGAAAUGAAUGCUUGUAAUAGUAGUUAGUUUUAUGUUAUUGAUACUUCCUUAUGCAAUCUUGAUUGAUAUCAGUUCCUGGUUGGAACACUCGUUCAUUGUUUUGAUUGCGACGCCUAGGACGUACAGGGAAAACUCUGUCCGUUCGGCGGUCUGUUGACGGCGCCGUGACCCAGCCAAAUGGGCGGGCGGUCGCGGGGCGUGACAAUAUAGUGGAUCAACAAAGCAUUUAAAAAAGAUUGUUGUGCGUAUCUUAUCACAAACGACAACGUCUAGUGGAUGUGAACGCAACUAGAGUACGUUCGCACUUAUACAUACCAAAGUGCGUAACCGAUUAGCGUACGCUCGAUUAGAGAAGCUAGUUUAUGUCCACUAUAAUAUGAGGCUCCGUUUAAGAUGCAUGCAAGAGGAGUAUGAUAAGGAAAAGGAAUUAAAAACUUAUGAUCCCUUGGAUGCAAGUUUUAUCAAUGAUGAAUCAGACCCCGUACUUGAUUGGCUACAAGAUAGAGACAAUCAAGAGGACCCAUUACUCGAUGAGCCUGGAGAUCCACCACGACCAUUCAAAAUAAUUGCUGAUAAAGCAGGAAUUAGUGAUGCUGAAGAUGCGCUGACGAGAACAUAGGAAGUCUCAAGGUAAUGUGCAAGAACAAGCGGCUUUGGACGAAGAAUCCCAAAAUCCUGCACAUGACUCUGAUGCAGAAUUCAAACGUCUUAUGCAAGGACCUGGAUAUGGUCGUUCACGUCAUACACAGAGUCAAUCUGGAAAGGAGAAAACGUCUUAUACCGCAAAGAGCCCUUCAACGACAGUCCUAAGUGGUAAGAGUAAAAAAAGUAUGACAUCGAUGGAUCCAUUAGAUGCAACUUAUGCACUCUCACAAGAUGAUGAUAGUAAUACAUCGACACCAACAAAUUCUGGAUUACCACAGUCUAUAGAUGAAUGUAGUGAUGAUGAUGAUACCACUAAUAGCAGUGAUGAUGGUGGCAACUUCAUUCCACCAACACAACAGGAGAGUGGAGGUGGUCGUGGCCUUAUAUUUACUGAAGAGCAAAACUUCACACAUCCCACUCAAGAUGCUGAUCGUGGGUCUCGACCACGUCAAACAUCCGGAGUGGUAUAUGACCGUCGAAAAGAUAGGAGGCCCUCACAACAAGAUUAUGGGGAGAUGAGAGAAGGUUUGGAGGCAAUAUCAACUAGACCUCCACGAAGGGAUGAUAUUUUGCACACACAGUUUGAUAGUACUUCAAUAUCAUCGCAUCCCUCAUAUCGACAUGGCCUAUAUGGAGAGAUAUUUGAUUAUGAUUCAUCAAUUUAUGGCACUCAGAGUGAAUCCCAAUUCAUCCCUGGACAUAGUGAAAGCUCAUACGGCAAAUCUACAUCGACUCAUGCAUAUCCACAUUAUGGUUCUUCUAUUCCAUACAAUCCAUAUCCUUAUGAUGCUUCAGUCUAUAUGCCACAAGAUGACUGUUGUCCAUUAUAUCCAUGAUCCAGUUGCAUAUGCAAGUUAUCUCCGACAAUACAAUGACAUAUAUCGGGAAUAUAUGACUUUCUCACAAUACCAACAAUACUUAUAUCAACAUUGUCAUAUAAAUCUUGUAUCUGCAACUGACAGUAUGCCAUAUGAUCAAGCGCGACAAUCUAUGUGGAAUUAAGCAGUCAUCUCUACAUAACGAUGUAAAUUUAAAUAAUUAUUAUACUUGGGCUAGGGCUACUAUACUCAUAUGAGUAUAGAGCCCUUUGUACUCAUAAUAAGUUUUCAACCGUUCAGAUGAAAAAAUGUGCAGUUAAGAUGAGAGUGGUUACGGUUAGGUUGAUAGUGGGACCCCUAGGGUUGAGUGGGUGGUUGGUUGAAUAGUAUAAUCUAACAGGUGAAUUUGAUUAAAGGGUAGAUCUAAUGGCCAAAAACUUAUGAGUACAAGAGGCUCUAUACUCAUAAGAGUAUAGUAGUCGGACUCAUUAUACUUGUGAAUUUUAUUAUUGUAUUUUAGUUUUUAUUUUACAUUAGGUAUAAGUUGUAUUUUACUUACAAAAAACUUACAUGCAUGUUAAUUGAUGAGUAUACUACGGUAUAUAUAGCAAAUAUUCAUAAUUAUUUAUUUAAAUCUUUCAAAAUAACAUUAUAAGAGUUUAUUGGAAUCAAAAAAACUGAAAAAAAUCCGUGCCAGAGCGUGCCAGUAGGAGGUCGUGCGUAUCUGUCGGCACGCAAGCGUGCCACGUGUCGGCACGCAAGCGUGCCCGUGCCGUACCGUGCCAGGGCCGUAACAGCACGCCCCCGUGCCAUAGCACUUUAAACCUUGUUUUUAUCACAUCUUUUGAACUUUAUUGAGGAAAUUACUUACUAAUUUAAAAAAUAGAGGGUUUUGAAUUGUGCCAUCGGCACGGGGUCUAUAUCGUGCCGGUAUCUUGUUGGCACGGUACGGCACAGUGGAUACGGCCCGUGCCGACGGGCACUUAAAACCUUAGUUAAAACCUUGCAUAUAGUAUUUUAAUCCCUUUGCCUCACACGCACAUAAUUUUUAAUACACCUUUCAUCUUUACUACUAUGUGGCUUUCUUAAUCAAAAGCCUAAAAGAGUUGAAACUAUACAAACAACACACGGGGAAUAAAACUUUACUGUUAUUAUUAUAUUUGAAUUGGACAAUUAAAAUUUAGAAAGAAUUGAUGAUAUUCAUGUAAGUUUCACUUGAGCAAUAAUGAAAUAGCUACCUUAUCGGAGUCAUCCAAUCCCAUCCUUCAACAUAUUGAGCAGCAACAUCUUUUCCAAUCUAAACCAACCAAAUUAAAUAUUGUCAGGAUACAUAUAUUAAUAAAGAAUGCAAAUAUUGUUGCAAAUAUUGACAUCGCUGAUCCAAAGAACCAAAUAUGACAAUUGUUUUAGUGGAAAAUUGAAGUAAAUGUGAUUGGUAUGGAAAGUUGAGAGAAAUAUUUGCUAAAUAACAUCAUGAAUAAAUGUUACUAUAAAUUAGGCAUUUUGGGUGAAUUGAUACAUAAAUGAGAAAUAGUAAAAUCGAUCUCUAAUAGUUAAAUGAUGUUGAAAAUUCAUGAAAUUUGGAUAGUUAAUAUACUUUAGAUGAUGUCUUUAAUGUUGAUCAUCAACUUAGAUUCCCUAUCAUUGAAAAUAAAAUGAAAGAACAAUCCUUAGCAUAAUUAAUGCUAAAGCAUCCAAAUCUUCGAUCUACAGGAUAUUUGAAGUUACUGCAGACCACAAUUCACAGUUUUACUGUACCCUUAAGCAUCAAGUGGAGACAAAUAAGAACAUUGCAAAUUACAUAAGCAAUCUAACAAUAAGAUAUGAGUCCUCUAUAAAUGAUUAAAUACACUAUCCUUGAUCUAGACAUAUAAACAAUUUUUUAAAUGAAUUUUCAACUUAUUUGAAUCUAAAUUAACCGUCAAACUUUUAAAAAUAAUAGUCCAUAUUGGAUAUUGUUGAAUACAAAUAUUAAAAACACCAUUUUCUAACAACUUAAGCUUUUGGCGAACAAUGGUUCUUUCAUAAAAUUUAAUAUGAUAUCAGAGCAGGAGAUCCCGAGUUCGAGUCUUGCCAAGCUCCUAGCAUUAUUUAAUUUUCUCCUAUGUAAUUCAAGCCCACGUCUAAGGCCCUUCAAAAUGUGUCAACUCUCAAGCCCUAUAUGUGAAGGGGAGUGUUGAAUAUAAAUAUUAAAAACACCGUUCUCUGAUAGCUUAAGCUUUUGAAGAACAAUGGUUGUUUCACAUAAUUUAACAUAUAUAUAUAUAUAUAUAUAUAUAUAUAUAACGCAAAAGGUGUAAAGGUAUCUCCACAUAUCAACUAAAGAUUUAAAAGGACUCAAUUGUUUCACACAAGGCAUUAAAUACGAUACACUGACCAACUGAAAUUGCCAAUUCGCAAAGCGCUUUAUACAAAGAAAGGUCAAAAUAUCCUAAACUUGGUUUUCAGUGGCUUCACAUGUCUAGAUCAUUUCCAACUUGAUGAGUUGUCAAUUCAAAAGCUCCAACAUCGAUUUGAGAAUGAACAAUUUGAACAUAACCAUCUUGAAUGUAUCACAUCAUUAUGUUAUUUAUAUGAAGUAAGCGCAUAAUUGUUAUAUCUUAUUGUAUAAAAAUUAUUUAAGCAUUUAUAGAGAAAAUUAUUCAUUUUCCCAUAUAACAUGUAACAUGAACAUAUCUAUAUGAAAUGAAAUAUUGAUGUUUUAGAUCUGAUACGUAGUUUUUAUUUAUUAUUUUCUAAUAUGGUAUAUAACAUAAUAUUUGAAAUAUCCCAAACCAUGAUCAUCUUUCUAAUUACUUUAUUGUAUUAAUUUUUAGUUAAUGUUUGAUGAGGCACAUAUUUGAAUUUUCACUAAGUUUGUAGAUUUGGUGCGGUAUUAAAUUUUCGUUAAUAUCAAAUAAUCAGGAUUCCAUAUAUGUCGGGAUGUAAAAUGGGGCGCCCAGCCCGGCACGGGGACUGUAGCAGCAUCGGGCCAACCUGAUGUGACGCCUCACUUUCCAUGUCUAGAGUAAUAAACUAUAUUGAGUUUAUGUAUAUAAUAGAGUAGCAUAAUUGGUAAAAUGGCAUGCAUGAAAUGUAUUUUUCUUGAGAUAAAUUGCUACCAAGGUACAAGAACUAGACAUUAGAUGAAUCAUGUAUACCGUGUUGUGGACAACUAGGAUAAUGACAUUCUCUAAGGACAAUAGAGAAGUGGACAUGCAUGUGUUAAUAAACCUAGUGCCAUUUAGCAUAGAUUGGAAAACAUAGUAGUCAGAACACUACUUGAACAUGCAUGUGUUAAUAAACAUGCAUGUGUUAAUAAACCUAGUCCCUUCUAGCAUAGAUUGGAAAACAUAGUAGCCAGAACACUAAUUGAACAUCAAUGUCAAGGUACCUAGGAGGGUUGAUAAUCAAGGUUGAGAACCGGGCGGAGACUUCUUGACUGUAGAUGUGUGCACCCUGUACAAGAUCAAAAGCGGCAAAUCCACUAGACUUCUCGAGUGUUACAACUGCACUUUAUAUGAGAUCAAAUGUGGUGCUUCCGUUAGACUUCUCAGGUGUACCUAUGUGCACUCGGUAUGAGAUCCAAAUGGUAAUUUUGCUAGACUUCUCAAGUGUAUAGUUGUGGACCCCGUAUGAGAGCAAGAGCGGCGAUUCCGCUACCUAUAAACCGGGUUCGAACUGAUAUGAAAGGAUAAUUAAAUUAGUGAGUAAAUGAUAAUUUGUCACACCCGGCCUGGCUCUGCAGGCAGUGCUAGGCCUACUAACUAGGGCCCAUCGGUCUAGCAUGGCCCAGGUCCCGAAAGUAGGCCCACAAUCCGGCACAGCCCAGCUCAAAGGGCCAUGAUGUUUAGACAACAGAGCCAGGCCUAUAUUGGAUUUAGGCCUGGCUCCUAGGGUCAGGCUUAGUCCUAAAGUGCUAUUUCCAACCCCGAGGGUCUACCCAGAUCUACCAUGGGUAGACCCUUGGGAAGAGGACCCAACAUCUCAAUAGCUGUUGGUAACCUUUUUUCUCUCUUUUGAAAGAAAACUGUAAGAGAUUGAGAGAGACUCUUUUGGUCAAAAUGACAAGAAUGCCCUAUCUAACAUUCAAAUCUUUGACUAUUAAAGAGGACAUUUUGGUCCAAAAAAUUAAAUUUUAAAAUUUAAAAUAUCUAUAAAUACUCCUACAAAUCUCCAUUUUCAUUACAAGAAGCAAAUCUUUCAUUCCUUUUCUUCUCCAAACACUAAUUCUCUAUAAAAUCUCUCCACAAUCUUUCCACAUAAUUUCUCAAUCUCAAGACAACUUUUAAUCUCUUAACUUUUAGUUUUAUAAUUUUUUUCAAAUGCUUUUUUGAUUAAUUAUUUAGUAUUUCUUGUGUUAUUUUUUUGUAGGGAUAAUAUCUAAUGUACCCUCAAAAACUUCAAAAAUAUCUAAUAUACUCCUAGUUGACCAGAAUGCCCUUAUUGCUUUCCAAAAAUCCCUUCAAAUAUCCCCCAACCCCUGGGGUUUACUAAAGGGAAUUGAGGUAUAGAAGAGUAUUUUGGUAAUUUUAGAGUAAAUUUGAAAUUUCUUUAAUAGUAGUCAAAGUUACAUAAGCAAAAGCCCCUUUUUUAUGACAAUUCGAGCAAAUUAAUUUCAUAUAAAUUUUUUUUGUACUGAUUAUACUCCUGAGUACUAUGUUAGCAACCAAUUAGUCAUAGUCGAUGACUGCACACAAAGUAGUGACUGUUUGCAAGCUCCACAAAAUUUGGACGCAAGUUCUAAAAAGGCGUCUAGAUGAAAAACAAGUAUGAAAAUAUUACAACAUCAAAGAAAUUGAAGGGCAUGGUUUGCAAGUUGUUUGUACAAUAUGUGAGACUCACUAUUCUUGUGAUAGCUCUACUAGAGCAGAUCAUCCUAACCAACAUAUUUAGAAACAUCUGGUAAAAAAAGGUAAAGAGAUAAAAACAAUCACAACUUGUUUUUACUUCUAGUGGAGUUGGUACGUUUCAAUAUUCACAUAAAUGUAAUAAAAGAAAAGUUGCAUUAUAUAUUGUAGGAGCUAAGCCACCACGUACAUUUGCUUAAUGUCCAUAUUUUCAACAUUAUGUGAAAACCGUUUUGAAUCCCGCAUCAAAAAAAUUUUUUGAAAUACUAGUCGUAAAGAUUUAAUAAAAACAUUUCAUGAAUAAAAACAUUCCAUUUAGAUGAUUUGAAUUCAAAAAAAUCACUUACUCCCAAUAUUUGGACAUCUGAAAAUUCACUUUCUCAUUUCUCUCGUCUUGUGUUUUCUCCUUUACCUUCCUUCUCGACAUCCCUUUCUCUCUCCACAUUUUGUCUCUCUUCACUUUCUCGCACUUUUUUUUUUCUUUUUUACUCUCUUCACUUUCUCUCUCAUUCCUUCAUAUUUUUUGCAUUUUCUCUCUUCACUUUUCUCUCCUCCUUCCUCUCACCGUCGCUUUCCCCUUAUUUCUUUCUUCUCUCUCUUUACUUUCAUUCAUGACACAACCAAAUAUCAAAUUUUUUACAGGAGUAACAUUUACUCCAUGAAAUGUUACAGGGGGAAUAUGUUUAAUUCCCAAACUUUUAACCCCAUAUGAAAUUAGCCCUAAAAUUAAUUUGAUUUUGGCUGAUCAAAAUAUAACACCAUAAUGACUUAUCAUCUAAGUACUUAUAUUUAUGUCAUAUUUGGUAAUUAAGAAGAAAUUGCUUAACCUUUCGCAUUAAAAUAGAACAAAUUUAUGUACUUUAUCAAUAUUAUCUUUUGCUAUAGAAUCUGUAAAGGAAAAAUUGCCUGUAUAGAAGAAUGUAUGAUUUUUUUACUGACAAUAUUCUGAUAGUUUUCAUGUAAUAAAUAGUAAAAAAAAUUGGAAUAGAUUAACCUCAUAGCGCAUCUGACAAAGUUUCAAACAUUUCCUAACCCGCGAUUGUAGAAAUGAGGGGCAGUAUAUUCAAUAUCCACAUACAAAUUGAAAUAGAUUAACCUCAUAUGAAAUUGGCCGGGUUAUUUUUGUUGCUCUGUGGUACAGUUUUAUCACAACGCUUAUAAUAAAAGCUAAGUGUAAUAUUAGUUAUAAGGCUUAUAACGUCAUAUUAACAGGUAGGUAAGAAAACACUGACCUCAUGAUCGCCACCUUGGCCUCCCUCAGCAGGAAUACUGCCAGGAUGAUCAGGAGGAUGAACAAGGACAGCAAGCAAGUUUUUCCCAUCAGGAUGAAGAACGUCAGUAAUAUCGAGUGUAUGUCUGCGAAACAUCCCUUUAGGAAGUAUUUCUUUAUGUCCAUUAAAGUACACUUCUGAAGAGUAAUUAAUUGCACGGAAAUUGAGGUUGACAUGCUGAUUCCCUGACUGAACAGUAAUCACAAUUAAAACAAUUAUUGGGUUAUUUGCAAGUACAGAACAUAAUCAUCAGAACAUACAUAGAGAGAAACAAAACAGUUAAGGUUUUAGUAUUGUCGACAUCAAAUUGCCAAACAUCCUACAAGACAAAUAGAGUACUCAAAACAAACUAAGAAAAAGAAAAGGUUACUAGAAAACUUGGACAUUAAAAAGUAAAACAGACCAAUCACUAUUACAUUCUCUGCAAACGGAAAAAUAUCUAACUAAAUUAAGAAUGCUAGAGCUAUCACCUAGUAGGUGAUUUCACAUAAUUGAGUUAUUGAAUUGAGAAUGAAUCAGAUCCAUAAUCUCAAUGCACCAGGAUAGACGGAGUAUCGUUGAAGUAAUUCGAAGGCACCAGUGAAUGUGCAUCGUCUGUAACCUACUUCCAAUUGCAUAUGUGACCAAUAGUCCCGCAUCAAAUAAUGUCGGAGAAUGUGAGGGUUAUAUAUGUGAGGGGCACACUAGAACGAAUAACUGAGCUUAAGCAUUUGAGCCGGUGGUUUAGGCCCAACAAUUAUUAGUGCUAACGGGUUGGAUCGUUACAGCAUAAUUAUAGGAAAACUUAAUUACUGAACAACUAUGCACUAAAGGAAGAUUCAACAAAUUAAAAACAACAUUGGACUGAUAGUGUAAUACCCCAUAUUUUUAUUUUUAUUUAUUUGAUAGAGGAGAAUUAUUUUGCUCAACUUAAAAAAUCUAGGAAUAUAUGUGCAAUUAUAUAACCCUAAUUAAUAAAAAGGCUCCUAAUCUCUCUUUUUCUCCCCAACCGGCCAUUCUCUCUCCUUCUCUUGUUCAACCUCAUCAGCAUGCGUGCCUUUCAUGCACACGCGCGAUAUCUCUCUUUUCCUCGUACAAUUAUCGAUCUCGUCUUUCGACGCCGCCUCAACCGCUGUACUCCUUGAUCUUCGUCGGUUUCGUUUUGUUUGUAGCUAUUAGAUCGUCAGAGACAUCUCGUUCGUAGUCGUUUCGUUCAUCAUCAUUGAAAAGGUUCCGUUGAUUAAGUUGAUGCCUAUGUUUGAUCGAACGAUACUUAGAUUAUUUAGAGGUAAGUGACCUAAUGCCUAUUAGUUUGUUUUUGAUAAAAAAAUUGUAGAAAUAUAUUACGGUAACAAAAAUUCCUUUUUGUAUAUUUUUCCAAAAUAAGGGUUAAGCGUGCUUAUAUAAAUUACAAAUUGUUGAAAGAGAAAAAUUAAUAAGUAUUGAUUUGACUGUUGUGCAGUUUUUAGAAUAUGUUCUUUAGAAAUGUGCUUAUUUGAUAAAAUUUCAGCAUUAAUAAUUUAUUUUCUUCUUAAUUGUUGACUGAGUAAAUAAUUUUGAAGUCAUGAUGCCUCUUGGGAUAUUCCUAUAAUGAUGUUGGCCAUGUCGACAAGAAUUUUAUGAUAGAAGCUAGCUUCGAUUUUGUGAUGUACUUCCGAGUGCAAUUUUGUGACACGCCUUCGGGUGCAAUUUUGUAACGCGCCUUCGAGUGCAAUUUUGUGAUGCGUCUUUGGGUGCAAUUUUGUGAUGCGCCACUGGGUGGUACUUAGAUUCAUCUUCAGGUGCUUUCACUUUGUGAUCGUGCCUUCGGUGUAAGGUACCGGACUUCAAAAAAUUAUGAAGUUACGGUGUACACUUGGUUGGGAAGCCAUAUGAAUGGUUCCGGUGAAGUUCGGUGAGGUUUGGGAGCAUUCGGGCGUUUCGGUGCGCGUAGGCGCGAAAACGGAACCCGAAAGGGUAUGUUGGGCCGUGAACUAAAUCCGGCAUUAACAGGGAUGAAGAGAUGAUGAAAACACGCUCGAAAACAUGUUUGGAGAGUCUCGGUUCGAUUUGAAAAGAAUCGGAGGUCAAACGAGCGAAAACGAGCGAAAACGAAGAAGAAACAGUGAAAAAGCUGAAAAUUUGGCUAAGUCCUAAAAUGCUAGAAUUCUGGACCUACGGGGACCGAUCCCUCAAGUCCAAGGACCGGUCCCCUAUACAAAAAAGUGCCCCGCGAGGGGCAAUGCACUAAAUGCAUUGUUGGAGGGGUUUUUGGCAAAAUUGCAUUAGUUGGAGCUACAAGAGGGGUCUAGGGCUUGUUUUCUCUCAUUUUCCUCCACCCUCUCACCCUAAGACACCUCUCUCUCUCUCUAGAAGCUCUCUCUCUCUCAUCAAGGAAGGAAAGGAGAGGAGGGAUUGGCGGAGAAGAAGCAAAGAAAGAAGAACUUCAUCUUCUUCCCUUGGCCAUUGGAGCUUGUUUGAGGUAAGCUUUAUACCCUCUAAUGGUAGAUCCUUAGAGAUGGGUUUUUAAGCUCUAGAAUUGGAUUUGGGUGAACCCUAGCAUGCUAGGGAGUUGAUUGAUGCCUGAAUCUAGAGGCUACAUGAUGGAUUUUUGCAUAGUGAAUACCUAGGGCUCAAAAUGGGGGUUUUGAGAAAUCUAGGGUUUUGAUCUAAAUUGAAUGAUUGUAAACCUAAUUGCUAGGUAUUCUGACGCGUUGGCGAAGACGGUCCGUCGAUUCGUCGAGCGGUUGCGAAGAUAUUGAAGGAAAAGCUUCUUUUGGUUCAGAUUGCCGCAGUUCGCGGCGCAGGCUUCCUAAAAUCACAAAAACGGAACCCUAGCCUCGUGGUAGCGAUAAAAGGUGGGGGGUGUCAUCCCGAAGCAACUGGGCUUCUCCUUAUGUCUAAGUAUCUCUAUGUUGAUCAAUUAUGCAUAUUGAGCAUGAUGCAUUAUAGGGUGCUCGGUUAGUGUUAUUACAUAUUCUUGCAUGCUAGUAUAAUAUAGUGUUGUUGGCUUCGAUACUUGUACCUAGUAUGCAUCUGAUUGGGACAUAGUGUAGUGAAACCCUAUAAUGACAAGAUUAAUGUGGAUACUCUAGUUGAAAGAACACCUAGUCGUUGUGUACAAUUAGAGUAUUGAGAACGAGUGACAUCUAGUUAAUGUUAAACUUGACGAGUGGCAUGAUAAGUAAAGUAUAGAGAAAAUACUUGUCGUAGGUGGAACCUAGGGAUGAGCUAGUUCCCAAGUGAUGUUGUCUAGAGUGGUAGGGUAUCCUCGGUGACGGGGAUUUGAUCAUACUCAUAUAUCUAUUCGAAGCUUGGUGUGGUCGCUCCACACAAGCAGUGCACUUCGAAGUUGUCACAUAAUAGGGAUAGCCUUUCUGGGUCCCAAGGGAUAGCCUUUAUGGGUCCCGCAGACAGUCUUGGGAGAGUGAGCUGAUCCUUCCCAGGUGAGUAGGGUGAGUGAGCUGAUCCUUACCUGUGAGAUAGAGAUUGGGUUGUGGUACCUGUGUUGAGUUGGGCGAGUGAGCGGAUCCUCCCCGUAGAGAGUGUGUGAGUGUUGUGAGUCGGCUGAGUGAGCGGAUCCUCCCCUUUGUGACUAGAUUGUGAGUCGGGCGAGUGAGCGGAUCCUCCCCGUAGAGAGUGUGAGUGUUGUGAGUCGGGCGAGUGAGCGGAUCCCCCCCUGUGUGACUGAGUAGACGUGUGUGACUUCUUGACAUAGUAUCAUGUGGUAGAUUGCAUAUUAUACAUUUGACUAUUGAUAGCACAGUAGAUCUUAGUUGCAGUUCAAUAUCUAUCUAUCUAUCUAUCUAUCUAUCUGUGCCAGCUUAGACCUAGUGGGAAGAUCGGCAGAGUCGGCGGCCAAACCCACUGGGAACUAUAUUUAUAUAGUUCUCACCCCGUGUGGUUUUGGGGUAUAGGUACACACGAGAGCGGACCGGCAGUUGAUCGCGGUAAGGGCUUAGCGCCCUAGAGGUUGUAGUAGUAGCUUUCUUACCCUUUGCAUUAGAGCUACCUUGUACAUACUUGAGAGUAGAUGAUGUAUAGGUGUGAGAUAUUUUGGGAAAUUAUAAACUUUAAGUUUAUGUUGUAUUUUGGAAGAAUAUAAAGUAAUCAAAUGUAUUAAAGUUGAAUGGAUGUAAUAGAUUAGUAUCUCUCUUUUAUUCACUUGUUUAUUACUUGUGAUGCUUGCUCUUUAGUUAAUUAGCACUGAUUGUGCUCUCGCUGUUGUUGUCUGAUUGUGUAUGUAAUCAAGUUGUUUUCCUCGGCACUUGUGUACACAAUCUCGUUGUUUAGCCGUGGGCGGACAGGAGAGGUGCUGUCUAUUCGGCGUCUGUCCGACGCGCCCGAACCGGCCAAAGUGGUAGCGGUUUCGGGGCGUGACAGUUGUGGUAUCAGAGCGAGUUAAGAGCAAGCAAAGAGAGAGUCUAGGAUGGACCUAAGAGACCCUAGGACGGUUUACCCUAAGGUUAUAGGUGCGUGAGUGCGACGUGAACCUAUGACGGCGGCGGAAGUUGAUUGAUUGGGUCGAAGUUGGUGUUGAGACUCUAGUAGUUGCUAGAGACGAUUCAAGUAGUACUAGUUCUUGGCUUAAGGUGGUUGUGUUGGCGGCCGACAACACGAUGCCGAGAGUCAAGAGCUAGUAUGCUUGUGAACUUCCGCCUGAUUUGUGUUGUUGAAACGUUUUAUCGCGUAAUUGCGAGAAGUUGUUGGGUUGAGGUGAUUAACCGAUUUAUUGCGUUUCAGGAGCUAAUGUCCCCGAGACGCUACGAACGUAGAUCCGUUCCGGCACAGCCUCCUGAGGUGCCAGAGCAAGCUGGAUCAAGCGAAGUGCAGGAGUUGCGGGAGCAGGUAGCUGCACUUGUUGGCGCGAUGCAACGCCAAGAGAGUAGGAUCGAGCGGCUCCAAGAGUUAUUGGAGCAACAAGUGGCUGCGGCGGCCGCGACAGCAGGUCAAGGCCAUGGCCCACCCGCACCCUCGGCGCGCGCGCCUGAGGCGGCUGACGGUGAGGGCAUUGCGGCAGCUCCGGUGGCGGCACGUCCCCCGCCGGCGAGUGUUCCUCCAGCGGCAUCGGGUUCUGCGACACUCGGUGCGGCGGCCGAGGAGAUAGAGCGAGACCGUGGCUACACGGCUCUCACAAGGUUUAUGAAGUUCCACCCUCCGAUGUUCCACGGUGAAGUGGUUGAUCCCUGGACAGUAGAGACAUGGUUGGCCGCAAUGGAAACCCUGUUCGAGGACAUCUACACCGCGGAGCGUGAUAAGGUGCCUUUAGCCGCGCAUUGCUUCGAUAAGCGGGCCAGAGUGUGGUGGCGGAGAGUGAAGCAGGAUCGAUCUUCGGACCUUCCCCCGAUUGAUUGGGAGGAGUUCCGAAGGUUGAUGUUUGCGGAGUACUUUUCGGACAGUGAGAAGCGGAAGAUGCGAGAGGACUUCCGGAAGCUAAAGCAGGGCAACCGCAUAGUUCGGGAGUAUGAGCGGGAGUUCACCCAUCUCCUGAACUGUGUCCCGGACGUGGCGAGAACUGAGAAAGACCGGGCAGAGUGCUUUGUGCGAGGACUUCGUCCCGGAGUGUUCCGAUUGGUGCAUGCGUUUAAGUUCCGCACCUUCGCGGAAGUGUUGGACCGUGCCUUAUGGGUUGAGCACGGAAACGCUUGCGAACGAGAAGAGCGUGAGGCGUCCGAGAAGGACAAGGGGAAGAAGCGACAGGGCGGUGGUUCUGGAGGUCAAUCGAGUUCCAAGAAGCCCCCGAAGUACCCGCGAGAGCAGUCCGAGGACCGUGAAGUGCAGCAGUGCGUCUUUUGUGGUGGAGACCACUGAAUGACGCAAUGUGAGCAUCGCCGAGGGAGGUGUUAUGAAUGUGGCCAGGCGGGGCACAUGGCCCGUGAUUGCUCGAGAAAGGCUUUGGUUGCCCCGUCUGUCGCAUCGGCUCCGACAGUUCCAGGCCAUUAUGGCAGAGCCCCACCUAUGGUUGCGUCGGCUGGACGUGCCUUGGCGCCACGUCAGCCUGAGGCGACCCGAUCUGCUCCAAGUGGUCGGGUGUACGUCGCUCAAGUCAAGGAGCCUGCUGCUGCAGAUGAUGUCAUGGCAGGUAUGGUUUAGUUGAAGCAAGUAUAUACCUUUGCAUGAUAUUAAGUAAGUGCAUUGCAUGCAUUGUAGUUGUGGUCAUUUGUUACUACUUAUUCAUAAGCAUAGUAGAGACCAGAGCAUGGGUCGGUGUAGUUACCCUAGCAUGCACGAGUUGUGAUGGUACGUUGCUUACCUCGAAUUGUCGAGGGCAGAGAUUUUUGGUUAAGGCGAUAGUCCGAGGUUAGGUUCGGGAGCGAGAGUGUCACGUAUUGGAUCUCGAGAUCAAGCACGCAUUAAGAGUGCGAUGGUGACCCAACCCGACGAAUUGUAGUGGUUUGAGGUCUUAAUUGCUCCUGGUCGGAAUGUGUGCGAAUUCCAAAGUGAGAAUUUCGCCCAGUUAUGAUUGGGUCAACGCUUGCGAGCGAGAGACGUCGCGAGUGUCGAGAUGGUUGGGCUAUAGGACUGGGUAAAGUUAGUGACUGUUGGUCCACAUGUGGAAAUCGAUGUGAUCGGUUUGGCCAAUAACUCUGUCGAGGAGUUUGGCUUGGAUUUGCGAACAGAGAGUUCGUGUGAGUUUGUUGUAGAGCGAUUGAAGUUGGAAGUGGCAAUGGAGAGGUAAGAUAAAGUGGUCUCUUGGAGACACUUGAAUGCCAGAUAGCCAGAUAGAGUUGAGAAAGUUGCUCUCUUGAGGAUUAACAUUGAAGAUGGACCAAAUUGUGCCACCUCGCAAUAGAGCAAGAUCCGGAUGUGAUGGUAGCACUCGCGGUCGAUCGACGCACCAAUAAUAUUGCCUCUAGGCAAUGCCGGUGAUCGACUCGGAACGUGUUCCCCGAUUAGGAGAGUAGUGCAAGGAGAAAUUUCUUGCAUGGUAGUAAUGCACUUUUGGUGUUGCACGUAGCAAAUGUGAGUGAACUUGGUCUCACGUCCUCCGUAGUGGUCCUUUGGAUAGUUCCGACGAGUGGAAGGCCACCCCGGAGUGCGAAAGUACAUUGGAAUCCUUGAUUACUCAAUGAGUUGAGUUGAGGUGUGAGUUGGAUUUGAGGUUAGUUUCGAGGACGAAACUGCUUUUAAAGAGGGGAGGAUGUAAGGUACCGGACUUCAAAAAAUUAUGAAGUUACGGUGUACACUUGGUUGGGAAGCCAUUUGAAUGGUUCCGGUGAAGUUCGGUGAGGUUUGGGAGCAUUCGGGCAUUUCGAUGCGCGUAGGCGCAAAAAUGAAACCCGAAAGGGUAUGUUGGGUCGUGAACUAAAUCCGGCAUUAGCAGGGAUGAAGAGAUGAUGAAAACACGCUCGAAAAUAUGUUUGGAGAGUCUCGGUUCGAUUUGAAAAGAAUCGGAGGUCAAACGAGCGAAAACGAGUGAAAACGGAGAAGAAACGGUGAAAAAGCUGAAAAUUUCGCUAAGUCCUAAAAUGCUAGAAUUCUGGACCUACGGGGACCGAUCCCUCAAGUCCAAGGACCGAUCCCCUAUACAAAAAAGUGCCCCGCGAGGGGCAAUGCACUAAAUGCAUUGUUGGAGGGGUUUUUGGCAAAAUUGCAUUAGUUGGAGCUACAAGAGAGGUCUAGGGCUUGUUUUCUCUCAUUUUCCUCCACCCUCUCACCCUAAGACACCUCUCUCUCUCUCUAGAAGCUCUCUCUCUCUCAUCAAGGAAGGAAAGGAGAGGAGGGAUUGGCGGAGAAGAAGCAAAGAAAGAAGAACUUCAUCUUCUUCCCUUGGCCAUUGGAGCUUGUUUGAGGUAAGCUUUAUACCCUCUAAUGGUAGAUCCUUAGAGAUGGGUUUUUAAGCUCUAGAAUUGGAUUUGGGUGAACCCUAGCAUGCUAGGGAGUUGAUUGAUGCUUGAAUCUAGAGGCUACAUGAUGGAUUUUUGCAUAGUGAAUACCUAGGGCUCAAAAUGGGGGUUUUGAGAAAUCUAGGGUUUUGAUCUAAAUUGAAUGAUUGUAAACCUAAUUGCUAGGUAUUCUGACGCGUUGGCGAUGACGGUUCGUCGAUUCGUCGAGCGGUUGCGAAGAUAUUGAAGGAAAAGCUUCUUUUGGUUCAGAUUGCCGCAGUUCGCGGCGCAGGCUUCCUAAAAUCACAAAAACGGAACCCUAGCCUCGUGGUAGCGAUAAAAGGUGGGGGGUGUCAUCCCGAAGCAACUGGGCUUCUCCUUAUGUCUAAGUAUCUCUAUGUUGAUCAAUUAUGCAUAUUGAGCAUGAUGCAUUAUAGGGUGCUCGAUUAGUGUUAUUACAUAUUCUUGCAUGCUAGUGUAAUAUAGUGUUGUUGGCUUCGAUACUUGUACCUAGUAUGCAUGUGAUUGGGACAUAGUGUAGUGAAACCCUAUAAUGACAAGAUUAAUGUGGAUAGACUCUAGUUGAAAGAACACCUAGUCGUUGUGUACAAUUAGAGUAUUGAGAACGAGUGGCAUCUAGUUAAUGUUAAACUUGACGAGUGGCAUGAUAAGUAAAGUAUAGAGAAAAUACUUGUCGUAGGUGGAACCUAGGGAUGAGCUAGUUCCCAUGUCACGCCCCGCGACCACCCGCCUAUUUGGCCGGGUCGCGGCGCCGUCAACAGACUGCCGAACGGACAGAGUUUCCCCUGUACGUCCUAGGCGUUGCAAUCAAAACAAUAUACAAAUGUUCCAACCACGAACUGAUAUCAAUCAAGAUUGCAGAAGGAAGUAUCAAUAACAUAAGCUACUUGCUAUUACAAGCAUUCAUUUCAUACAAUAUUUUUCUUUUACAUUUGCUUAACUUUCAAGUACAAUUACAUUUAAUACAAGUUGGUUGUUGUCAUUCCAUUCUAACCCCUAGGCCCUGCUGACUCGGGGUACUGCUAGCUCUGGUCUCCGGGAUAGGGCGCUAUUUAUGAAGCUACGCCCUCGCCUCGUGCUGCCGCGCCGCUCACGUGCGAACCUGUAACACCCCAAAACAAUGUGGGGUGAGAACCAACUCCAUGGUUUCCAGUGGGUACGGCCACCCAAGGGAAAAGCUCGACCAAUAGGUCCGAGGAGGCACUGCAACAUGUUAGUUCAACAAUAUACAACAGAUAUAUAUAUUCAAUUGAAAUACAUGCCAUGCCUCACAAUAUACGAUAUGAAAAUCAUGCAACUCUAUGCAACAACUAGUAGAUCAACUGAUCCUACACUUUACUUGGCUAUUCUUAGCUCGUACCCUAAGGCUUCUACUACCUCGGGUUCAUACUCAAGUCCACUGGCUUCUAAGGUCUCUAUUACCUUAGCUCAAGCCUCUAUCUCUAGCUCAUAAGGGUUCCACUACCCCAUCGAAGCUAACCAUCCGACUCGGCUUCGGGUCAAUCAUCCGCGGAUAGUCCGCGCACUGACUGCUCAUCAUCCUACGGCCCUCUAAACUCAGCCUCUUAGCGGCGAAGUCGUCGCACGCGCUGAACUCGGCUCUAGUCACUUGACAUAGCCAUUCUAGCGGCGAACACGGCGUUCUUACCCAGCGAGGACUCGAGUCAUGAAAUAACCAUCUGGCGGCGAACGUAUCGCACCUGACCGAACAACGGUUCAAGUCACGACUCAGCCACCUGGCGGCGCACGCAUCGUUCUUACCCAACAAUGGUUUCAGUCAAUCCUGGCGGUCUAAUCCUCAAUCCGCUCAACCAUCCGGCAGCGAAAUCGUCGCACAAACGCCACGUCAAUAGUUAAAGCCCCAGGCGGUGAUCUCCAUGUAAUCGCCCCCCAAUCUUUCCUCGGUAUCAACCUCGGCAGCGAAGUCGUCGCACACGCCCUAGCCUUGAUACCAGGGUCAUCACAAAUCCUGGGAUUCCAGAAUCCACUUUCCAUAGGUCGAGGGUCCAUAGCCAACCCUAUACUGUCGACCUAGCUCAUCCUAGCGGCUAGUACCACUAUACUCAACAACCUAGGUUCCAACACUCUAGGUUCUAUGUUCAUGUCAUAUAACCUAGAUACAAUCUCUAGGUUCUCGUCAUCUUUACCUAGAUGUCCACUUCUAGGUUUACUAGAUCGACCUAUGUUUGCUAACACUAGGUUCGAUGCCACACCUAGACUUGUUCAACUCUAGGUUCACUCGUUUAACCUAUGUUCUUUAACACUACGUUAGGUGCCACUCGAUCUAAUUGACAUCCUAGUUGUCCAAUCGAGUCUCACUACCAAUCAACUCUACACUUCUAGAGUUAUCAUCUAUUUACAUGCAUAUAUAUAUAUAUAUAUAUAUGUAUGUAUACAUAUAUAUAUAUAUAUAUGUAUGUAUACAUAUAUAUAUAUAUAUAUGUAUGUAUAUAUAUAUAUAUAUAUAUAUGUAUGUAUAUAUAUAUAUAUGUGUGUGUGUGUAUUCAUGCUACUCAUGCACUCAUGCGAUCCUCUAGCAUGUAUACAUCAUGUUCAUUAUGCCUUCUACUUAGCAUUUUAAUAUAUGCAUCAUCUACGUCAUUUUAUUAACAUGCAUCAAUAUGAAACCAUAUGUUCUUAGACAUAAAGGGCAACCUAGUUGCUUCGGUAAGCACAACCCACCUUAGCUAGCUUUCCGAUUGCUCGUCGACACUUGCAAUCGGCCUCCCACGGCACUCGGCACCCGUUUGGGCCCGAUCUCACAGUUCUCUCCAAGAGCGCGCCGCUUCGCCGUUUCAACUGCUAAAGGUCUUCGCCUCGCCGUUACGAUGCUCGGACCCGAUUUCAUGAUUUAUGGACGUCGCCUCGGCCUUCCAGGCGGAAACGAAGCUCCAAGCGUCCGUUUCUUCAAUAUCUUUGUAACGGCUCGUCGAAUUGCCGAACCAUCUUCGCCAACUUGUUUCGUUACCUACCUAUUAGAUUUAUGAAGGGUCAAAUGAGAUCAAACUCUCACAUAUACCAAAACCCCAUUUUGUAUGCCCUAGAUGCUAUUGCUACCAAAUCCACCAAAUCGAUCCAUGAAAUGGGGAAAAACCAUCUAAAUAGCAUACUAGGGUUCCCCUCAAACCAACUUUAGGGAUCAAAAACCUAUCUCUAAGGAUCUACCAUGAGAGAGUACCAAGCUUACCUCUCUAGGCUUGCUCCAAUAGAGAGAAGAAGAUGAAGAGGAUGAAGAUGAGAGAGAGGAUCUUCUUCUUGGUCCUCUUCUCCUUCCUCUUCUCUUUUCUUUUUCUUCUUCUUCUUUCUCCCUUCCCUUCUUUUCCUUUUCCUCCUCACGAUCGGAGAGAGAGAGAGAGACAGUGAGGGAGAGUGUGAGGGAGUGAGAGAGAGAGAGAGAACACCUCUCUAAUACCCUCUCAUAUUGUAACAAAAUCCCCACAAGCCCCUCAACUUUUCAUCUCUUACACAGCCCUCACUGUGCGUUCUGCGCGCGGAGGGACCGGUCUCCCCGACCUGGGACCGGUCCCCGAGAGCUCCCCCCGACAUCACGCGUUCGGGAACCGGUCUCUCCCCGAGAGACCGGUCCCCCGGAGACCAGUCCGCCCACCAGAGACCAGUCCCCGAGAGCUCAUCUCGCAGGACUUGGCCAAUUUUGGCCAUUCUCGCUGGUGUCGCCUGCGGGGAUCGGUCCCCCUGCUGCCAGGGACCGGUUGCCUCAGCAACCCCGCAACCCUCGGCUGAUGGGACCGGUCUCUCCAGCCAGAGACCGGUCCCCAAGAGCAAAUCUGCCAAAGAUGCAGAUUUUGCAUCCUCGCUCUCGCGGACUCCAUUCCAAUGCACUUAUUGGGUUUCGUGCAUCAUUAGCUUUUCCAAAACUUAUCAACUCGACCAUUAGUCGAUUCUGGACGAAGUGCAACUCUCGGAUUUCGAGAAUUCACAUUGUUACAUCCCAAGUGAUGUUGUCUAGAGUGGUAGGGUAUCCUCAGUGACGGGGAUUUGAUCAUACUCAUAUGUCUAUUCGAAGCUUGGUGUGGUCGCUCCACACAAGCAGUGCACUCCGGAGUUGUCACAUGAUAGGAAUAGCCUUUCUGGGUCCCGAGGGAUAGCCUUUAUGGAUCCCACAGACGGUCUUGGGAGAGUGAACUGAUCCUUCCCAGGUGAGUAGGGUGAGUGAGCUGAUCCUCACCUGUGAGAUAGAGAUUGGGUUGUGGUACUUGUGUUGAGUCGGGCGAGUGAGCGGAUCCUCCCCGUAGAGAGUGUGUGUGUUGUGAGUCGGCUGAGUGAGCGGAUCCUCCCCGUUGUGACUAGAUUGUGAGUCGGGCGAGUGAGCGGAUCCUCCCCGUAGAGAGUGUGUGUGUAUUGUGAGUCGGGCGAGUGAGCGGAUCCUCCCCGUAGAGAGUGUGUGUGUUGUGAGUCGGGCGAGUGAGCGGAUCCUCCCCUGUGUAACUGAGUAGACGUGUGUGACUUCUUGACAUAGUAUCAUGUGGUAGAUUGCAUAUUAUGUUGUAGUUCAUACAUUUGACUAUUGAUGGCACAGUAGAUCUUAGUUGCAGUUCAAUAUCUAUCUAUCUAUCUAUCUAUCUAUCUAUCUAUCUGUGCCAGCUUAGACCUAGUGGGAAGAUCGGCAGAGUCGGCGGCCGAACACACUGGGAACUAUAUUUAUAUAGUUCUCACCCCGUGUGGUUUUGGGGUACAGGUACACACGAGCGGACCGGCAGUUGAUCGCGGUAAGGGCUUAGCGCCCCAGAGGUUGUAGUAGUAGCUUUCUUACCCUUUGCACUAGAGCUACCUUGUACAUACUUGAGAGUAGAUGAUGUAUAGGUGUGAGAUAUUUUGGGAAAUUGUAAACUUUAAGUUUAUGUUGUAUUUUGGAAGAAUGUAAAGUAAUCAAAUGUAUUAAAGUUGAAUGGAUGUAAUAGAUUAGUAUCUCUCUUUUAUUCACUUAUUUAUUACUUGUGAUGCUUGCUCUUUAGUUAAUUAGCACUGGUUGUGCUCUCGCUGUUGUUGUCUGAUUGUGUAUGUAAUCAAGUUGUUUUCCUGGGCACUUGUGUACACAAUCUCGUUGUUUAGCCGUGGGCGGACAGGGAAGGUGCUGUCCAUUCGGCGUCUGUCCGACGCGCCCGAACCUGCCAAAGUUGUAGCGGUUUCGGGGCGUGACAUUCGGUGUCUGUAAUGUGCGUUUAGAAUCUCAGCCAACGGGUUGCUAUUUACUGGAGACUUUCAUUUUGAAUUCUAAUUUUUAAAAUAAGAAUUCUUUUGUUAAAAUUCUAUCCCUCUUAAUCUUUUGUAAAACAUGCGUGUUCAAGAAUCAAAAUUCUGAAACGUGAUUUGUAAAAUUUUGUGAAACUCAGUCAUUACUAUUAUAUUUUCAGUAUGAAAAUUUACAUCUAAUUAUUUAGAAAGUUUUCUGUUUUGCAUGCUUAAUCCAACUAAUGUGGUGUAUGGUUUCUUACCCAGGUUUCAAAACUCUUUUGCCGGGAGAGGGUGGGACCGAGUGAACGCUAGUCGUAGUUUGUUGUUUGAGUUGCUUUCUUUUGUUAUUUUGUCUAUGUAGUAGUUGGAUGUUAAGUGGGUUUUCGUGGAUUAUCAUCUGAUUUAUUCAUUUUGGUUUUGUUCUUUUUUUCUAUACCGCAUAUUUAGUGAAUUUUGUGACUAUCGUUUUGCCUGAUUCUUUGUUAGGUUCUGUAGCCUUACAUAUUUGCAAUCUAGCAGGCAUGUGGCGGCUGUUACCACCUCAAAUUUGGGGCGUGUAGAUAGUUUGCCUCACAUUAUUGAAGACAGGUUCAUUUCAAAAUCUAGAUGUCUUGUAAAAGCCGUAAUUGAUGUUUUAGACUUCUCUACCUUUAAUGUUUUCAGAGAAGAAUCAGUAAUGGAGGGAAAAUUCUAAGGCAAAUCUUAUAAAACAUUAGUUUGGCAAUAUUGAUAAGUUACUAUCAUCUUCAGCUAACUUAAAUGUGCUAUAGCAUCUCUACAAGAACAAGAAAAAUUAGACGAGAUAUAACUAAUUCACAAGUCAAUUCGUGAAGUAAAAUCAGUAUGGAAGAAGCAGUCAAGAAAUUUAUCCUCCAUAAAUUGUACUGUACAAUCAAUUCCAGCUUCCCCUUUAGGAUCCUUUGAUCAAUCAAUUAGCAUGCCAAGCAUAUCAACCCUUAACAAAUAAGCAGAUAGAACGAUCUAAAAAAAGACAUUAAACAUAUGUUAAAUGAGAACAUCUCUUUAAACUGCAAACUAUUGAUAUGCAUUGAAAGUAUAAGAAUGGAAACUGUUAAUUUAAAGUUUAAGAUAUAACAUAUUUAUCAAGUGAAAACUGAAAAUAACAAGAACGCAAUUAGCAAGACCAUAAUACAACACAAUAAGAAGGCUCAUGCAGAAGGAUGCAUACCACUUUACAUUCAAAUGUUGUGAAGAACCAAAAUGUGUAGUAGUCCCUUCCAGAGUCAGCAAUAUCUAUAAUUGCUUCAUUGUUUAGGCCGUAGAAAGGAUCUGGCACCAACUUGUUCUUUAGCAAGGUUCCCAAGAUGCUGAAACACCAUUAAGACCGAGAUUCAGUUUUGACAAUCGAGGGAAAAUUCAAUAUUUACACAGAAAAACCCACAUAUUCAAGAGCAUAACCUUAGAUAAAAGCAAAAAGGACCACCAAAAAUCAGAAGGAAGCAACUAUAAAACAUAAGAUGACUAAUACAUACUUCAAACCAAUAUAUUUGACAUGCACUAUUAUAUUAAUGUUCAUGGGAACACAGUUUGUUAAUGUAAAGGUUUCAAGGUUUGAGAUGCUACAGGGAGUGAGUAGAAUAUCUAAAGACGUGAAUAGAACCAGUAUGAAAAAAACAUGUUGGCAACAGAUUAGUGGGAUAAGGUUUCCUCUUUAAAAAGUUUCAUCCAAAUAACAAAAUAUGGUUCAAAAUCUUCAGGGUUAGCAGUUUCAAAGCUUCUAAAAUAGGAGACAUGUAAAAGUAGCAAACAAGGAACUUGUUACAGUCCUGAAAAGUUAAAAGGGGAAACAAAUUCUUUUUAUAUGAUUAGUAACGUAAUAGGAUUGAUAUUAUAAUACAUAAGAAAUACAACAAGGGAGACGAGUUCUUUUAUUAAACAAACGAAAAUUAGAUAAGCACUAAAAAAGAAACGAGAUGAUAGGAUAAGUAGAUGUAGAAGCUCCCACAAUAAAAUCUAGUAAAAUACUAAGGCUUUGUUUGGUUUCGUUGUCUUUCUAUUAAUUACAAAUUUCAUGUCAUGGGAUAAGGUGGCCAAUGGACUUCUUUAUUCUCGCCAUUGUUGGUUAGCCUGCAAUGUGCCCCAUCGAGAUGUAGAGUGGCAUCUUCUUCAGAGAAAAGUAAGAGGCAAAAGGGUAAAAGGGAAAUAUAUAUAUAUAGAGGGUAUGGUAUUAUUAAAUUAUAGAUAUUAUUGGCUGUUUUGGUCGAAAUGUUAUGCCGCCUCUGGCGAACUUUGAUUUAAAAAUAGCCUGGUCAGGAUUGGUAUAUUGUCCGAAGAAAUGCUCUGCUUAGGCCGUGGUCGAUCGGGGUGGGGUGCGUCAGGCGCUUCGUGACGUUCAGCUGCUCUUAUUAUUUUACGGCGUGUGUUGUGGUUUGGGUUUGGUGGAAAGUGUUCUUGCUGUUGCCAGUGUGUUAACGUGUGAAUUGGUGUCAGUACUGUGUGAAUAGUCUAGUCAUUGUCCGUUUUUCACAUUAUCGUCGGUGUAGUUUAUCUUAUCUGGGUUUGGGAAGGUUUGGAUUCAUCCGUGGGGUCAAUAUGUAUAUUUUCUUUUUUUUCUUCUUUAUUUAUCUAACUUUUUUCUGAAGUUGAUAUUGCUGUUUUUUGUUUUUUAGAUAGAAUCCGUAAAUCGUUGUACGUAUCCUGAAUAUAUUAUUUGCAUAUUUAAUAUUUAUCUCUCAACUAUCUUUUUUUUGUUUGUUUUUUUUUGGAAAUUUCUCGUAUACGUGUGUUUCUCUUUUGUCUUUCGGUGUUUAAAAAUCGCGAUUAUCGCAUAUCCAGAUAUUUUAAGGAUUUUAUACUGGUGUAUUGUGAUUUUUUUUAAAUAUCUCUGUGGCGGCGGGAUUUCGGGUGUGAUUUUUUAAUUAUUUUAUGGUUUUCGUUAUUCGGGUUGGAAACGCUUGGUAUGUGCAAAGUCCGUACCGUUGACUUAUCUGCUUCUAUAUAGAGGAGAAGAAAAUAGGGAUAUUAUAUUGAUCAUGAGAUAUCUUUUAUGUCUGGUGAAUGUAUUUCACUUGUUGAAUAGCUGUGAAUGUUUCCAUCGCUUGUUUCAUCGUAACCUUUUCUUGGCUCCAGUCUUCCAUACCGUCUCGCUAUUUUUGUGUCGCCUGUGUCGUAGCGCUGUGGCAGGGCAUGGCCAUUUUUUUGUGCAAAUUAAUUUGACAGAGCUAUUUUAAAAUAAAUUUUUCAGGGCGCAUUUAGCAAAAAUCCCUAUAUAUAUAUUAUAUAUUCAUAUAGUAUAGUAUUUAGUUAUAUAUUAUAUGUAUAUAAUAUACGAGGAGAGAGAGAGAGGAGAUGAGAGGAUAUGUAGAGAGAGCCUGCUAUGUGUGGCUUUUUAAAAGCUUAUGCUCAUAUGUCACUAUGCUUGUUAUUGUUUUUAGUCGUAGAUUAGUCAUUGUUUGACUCAUGUUACGCCCUGUUAGAUUUAUACAUGUCACAACCACUUUCCUUACUCAACCGCUAAGGGUGGCGUGCCACUAUCAUCUGCUAACCACUUACAUUCCUUAAUCAUAAGGCGAAAAUUAUCAAGUCACGUAGUUUGUCAUGUAGUGUUUAGUUUGUGGUAUCCAAUGUUUGGGUACUUUUAAAUAGCAUAAGAGCUCAAUUCUAUAUUAUAUUAUUAUUAAUUAUAUAUAAUAUAUAUAGAGUCCGCUAUGGUGCUUGUAAACGUACCAAGCACUUACGUGCUUGUAAAUUUUUGCGUUAGGUCUCUGGCCCUUUGGAUCAUUUUACCUUGCCAGAUUUAUACUAUUCAACCAACCACCCACUCAUCCCUAGGGGGUCCCUACAUCAAUCCUAACCGUACAUCCUUUAAUCCAAGGGCCGAAAACUUACAAGCAUCAAUGACUUGGUACUUUUAAAAGCAUAGGAGCUCAAUUCUAUAUAUAUAUAUAUAUAUAUAUAUAUAUAUAUAUAUAUAUAUAACAAGUGUUUGUUUUUUGUUGGCGUAUUAGCCUAACAAUCCCACAUGGGAUAAUGUACAGAAGGUUUGAGGGCUAUAUAUGUAACUAACACUCUGGCAAUUUGGGCUUAAAUAUUUUGGGCCGGUGGUUUUAGCAUAAAAAGUUACAAAUGCUAGCGGACCUAAUCGUUACACAAGAAAUCGAAGCAGUUACUGACUGAAAAGUGUGGGGGAAUUAAGUGCUAUAAGGUACAAAGCGCUAUACCAUGUACAUGCUAGGAGACACCUCUAGAAUCUCACAUCAUCUAGUGGUCUUGCUCUACAUUAUUCGGUCAAACGAGGAUUUUAGGGACUAAGUGGGUACAGUUUGCAACACCCCAACGAUCCUCCAUCCAAUAACGUGGGAGAGUUUGAGGGCAAUAUAGUUGACUAGAUAUUAGUACAAGCAUCUUGGGCUUCAGCAAUUUUGGAUCAGUGGUUUAGACCCAACAUGUUGCUAAUGCUAGAGCACCGAGUCAUUAGAAUUGCUAAACAAACCCAAUAAAUGUAUAGAUUGCAAACAUCUGCCAUCCACAAACACACUUCAUCCCAUCGAAAUUUGUAUGAAAAAAAUAAAAACCAAAAGACGAGCAUGGUACCAAAAGAGCCUCAUAUUUUGAUGUUAUUGCUUCGCUAUACAAAAGAAGAAAUGUUAUUCCAAUGUAAAAUCCAAAGAAAAAUUUUAGCUUUCUUUUUUUCUCAAUCUGAUGUUAAGUAGCAGUCAAUAUUUAGUGGCACGACAAGCACUAGCCUUCCUUGCUUAUACCAUUUAAAGAGGUAAAAAGCUUUUUCUUGUUUUAAAGAGGUAAAAAGCUUUUUCUUGUUUCUUUUUUAUGCUUUUCGCAAUGAGCAUCAACAUCAUCCACCUUGUAUCAGAUUCAACUGAAGUAAAUUCCACAUCACAAUUAUUCUCCUUGUAUAGGACUUUGUUGAUCUCAUGAGUUUUAUGUGAAAUGAAUUGACUCUAGUGAGGAGCCAAAAAUAAUCAUUGUAAUUUUGUAACUUAAAACAGUGGAGACUUCAUUUACGAUUCUUUCCUACACUUUCCUUAAUUUGGUAAAUAAUGUAUGGAUCUUACCUGAUCUAUGCAGCAUUCCGAAGCUUUUGAUUUUACUACCUUUUUUUUUGUUUUUUUGGAACCUAAAACACAAUGUGAUUUCCCAUCUAUUUCAUAAAUAGGACAAAAAUACACCCUAUAAGAGCUCGCACCCUAACACAAUCCACUUCCCAAAAGCCAGCAGUUAACCCAAAAAAGCUAAUCUACGGAAAACAGAAAAGAUCCAAUGUCAAAAGCAGUAUACUCUCACUAUGGAAGUGUAUCACCAAAAACUCAUAGAAAGAAAGUGCGAAACAGAAAUUAACACUAAAAUGCCAAUCUUCUUCUGCAUUCACAUCAAGAGGCAGCUAGCAACUACCGUACUCACUGAUAAAUGCAAAGUGCAGGGAACCCAACAUCAUAAAAAGCCUGAAUCACGCACUAGAGUGGCAAAGAACAGCUUCCAAGAAAAGAUCCAUAGGAAGGAGUAUCACAUAAUCCUUCAGCAUACACUGGAGAUCAUCGCUCGUUAGACAGCCCACAGCUGGGGUAGGGCAGGCGGACAACCCGGAGAGGUGCAUCCACCAGGAAUAGGAAGAAUACAUUGUACCCUAAUAUAACAUAAUUUUUUGACAAUACAUUUGUCCAAAAAUGUAUCCCUACUAAAAUUUAACAGCAUAUUUUACUUUAUUGAUGAAGUACAUCGCAGCCUAGCUGAAAAAAAUCAUUGAAUUCUAAAAAGUUGACAAAAUUCUCUAAGAAAUAUUCAGAAAUCAAAAGAGGCAUGCCGUUAGAAGUACAAUCAAGAUUUUUGAAGUUCGAUAUAUUUUAGACUGACGCUAUACUUCAGGUAAGGUCUAUAAAGAUUUACCCCUUUUUGCUGCCCCAAAGCUACAGACUGGGGGUUCCUGUUGGCGGCCAAAUAUUGCCGGAUGUUAGGAACAUUGCCCCAAUACAGUAGAGGUUUGCUCAACAGUUGUUUUGAUAGCAGAGUACACAGGUAUAGUGAAGUGCAAAAUCGAAUAAGAUCAAAUCAGACAUUGCAGAACCUAAAUGCAGCUCUCUUAUUAGAACUUGGGAAGUCGACUUCUGUUCGUAAUUGACGAGGAGAUCGGUAUUGACGUAUGGGUAAGCAAAGAAGACGGAAAAUAAGCAGAAGAGAAGAGAAAGAUCGUACGUGCCCGGGACGGCGGCCUCCAUCCAUGGAGCGGAAGGGGGGAAGGACGGCGGUUGGGUGGUGGUCAGCUGGACGCCGGUGGCCGAUACUUCCGUCGAUCUCGCGGCCAGCCAUCCCGAGUCCAGCACCCUCUUCUCUCCCAUUUCCCCUCUCUCUCUCUCUCUCUCUCUCUCUCUCUCUCUCUCUCUCUCAGUGCAUUUGUGUUGGGGUUUGGGGGAAGGGAUUUAGAUGGACGCCUUCACCGGCGGAGUGGCUUGCGUAAGCAGUAAGCACGGAGCAUUAUUGCGGGCUUGUCAUUACGUGCGGAUAGGCGUGGAGACUGCGACAGAGGAUACCGAGGGCGGUAGCACGUACUUGUCUUCUCGCAAGCCAUCCCAAUGUGACUGCUCUGUUUAAUUUGUUGCCUGAGUUAAUUAUUCAUGGUGUUGUAAUAGGGUAACCGCAUCUAGCUUUCAGUAAUGUCUAAUUUUUCAAUUCUUUCGAUGUCAUCUAUUUGAUGUCUUCAUUUACUUUAUAUUUUACCAGUAAAAAUAAAUAGGACGUAUGACCCUUUUUUAUUUAAUUAUUUAAUCUUUAAAAGUUUUGAUAUUACUCUAAUCUUUUAACUCAUUUAAUUUGAAUUAUUUAGUGACUCUUAUAUUUUAUUUUAAAAUUUAAAAAUGUAUCAUUUAUUUUUACGGAUUUGAUUAGUAUAUUUCAUAUAAUUAUAAACUAUAAUUUUAUUAAGGUCAAUAAUAGGCUUAAAAUCUAUAUCUUCUAUAUCUUAACAUUAUUUCCCCUAAUCUUAUCACGUGGCAGCCUAUCUUUCACCCUCACUUGCCCCUCUUUUGAACCAAAUGGCUAAGCGGUCUCUUCGGCUUUCCUUUUCUGUAAUGUCUACCUCUUCGGCUUCCCAUCUUAUUAAUUUUUUUUCAUAACGUAUGUCUCUUCAACUUCCCAUCUCAUAAUUACUUCUUUGUAACGUCGCUACUUCGACUUCCCUCUCAUUAGUUUCUAUUUUCUAAGAAUCAUUGCCCGAGAAGCCUGUGGGCACGGCAAAUGGCGUUCUCGACAACGACCUCGCCUACUACGUCCGCUCCCCUCAAGCCCGCAAGCGCACCGCCCUCGCUCUCACCAUCAACGUCGAGUGAGUCGAACUCUAACCCCAGCCUCGAACCUUUUUCUCUCGAUGUCGACCACCUAUAUUUGUAAUGUAUAGGACUUGCCGAAAAAGGGUUGAAGGCGCUAUGAUAUUUCACGAAAGCAUCGGUGUUAGUAGAGAAUGCCCUAAAUGAAGAUACAAAGGGGUCCGAUUUCCAUAUAACACAUUUUUUUCUCCUAUAAUUUUUUUUUUCUUUUGUUAUUUUUUAUUAAAUUAUAAUUUUAUUCUAAAAGUUUUAAAGUAUUUUUUAUAUUAUUAAAUUUAAUCAAAUAUGAUUAUAUCCGCCGCAUCGCGCUGGUUCCUACAAUAGUUUAUAUUGAAAUAAGAUGCCUUGUAAUGUACUAAACUUUUGCAAAUUAGUAAGACUUUAUUAUCUAUACAAUCUAUAUAAUUUAUAAACUAUAAUUUUAUUAAGGUCAAUAAUAGACCUAAAAUUUAUAUUGGAAUCAGAUGGCUUGCAAUGUAUUGGACUUCUGCAAAUUAGUAAGACUCUAUUAUCUAUACAAUCUAUAUCUAUAUCUAUGUCAAUACAUUAUUUUUCCUAAAUUUGCCACAUGAUAAUAUUUCUUUCAUUGUUGGGUCUGGGCUUCACCCCGAAAUGGCUCAAGUUCUUCACAAAUAUAUAUUUUUUUCUUUCUUUAUUUGAACCAAAUCGGAUUUUUCUCUUUCCUUACUUUAACCAAACCGGGUUUUCCUUUUUUUUGCUUGAACCGAAUCGGGUCACACCUCUGCAUUAGGCUAAACUGUUCCUCUUCCACUUCCUUCGACUAUUACCUUCCUUCAUCGGCAAGAUAAAUCUCACCUCUUAUCACCACUUCUUUCAUCGUUGUUUUCUCUUUCUUUGUCGCCAUUUUUUAUUUUUUUCUCUAAUUAUUUACCCGUCACAUCACACGAAUUCCUACACUAGUACAUAAUAAUUUGAUGAUUUUUCAAUCCAUGUCUCGUUCUCCUCUUUGUUCUCUUCACGUGGUAGAUAAUUUUUCAAUCCAUGUCUCGUUCUCUUCUUUGUUCUCUUCACAUGGUGGCACUGGUGAUUCAAAAAAUUUUUCGAGUGGGUUCAAAUAUAUAAUAAAAAAAUAUAAAAAAAAUAAAAAGGUAAAUUAGUGAUAAAUAAUGUAUAAAUAAAUAGAUAAAUAGAAAAUUUAUUAUUUCUAUUUAUAACUAUUUUCAACGUAUUUUUAUAGUUUGAAAAUGAUUUAUAAUAGCAUUAUUGGUAGCACCAUAAGAUCCAUCUUUUUAUAUAUUUACUAGCCAAAAUUAUGAUAAAUAAAUUAUUUUCUUAUAAACCACAUAAAAUUAACAAUAUAUCAAUAGUUAAUAAAAAUAAUAAAAUAAAUCAAUAAUUAUUUUUCACAAAUAAUAAUAAUAACAAAUACGAUUAACUAAAAAUAAUUAAUAUACUAAUUAUACUUUUAUAUGUUACAACAGCCCAAAAUAACUACUACUCAUCAUAAUUUUUUAAAAAGUAUACUAAACCUAUCCUACUUGUUGACCUUGAUAGUGGCUAAGACUUAUGUGAAUAAGAAUUAUGCGGUUAGGAUCGGCCGAUAGUGGCCCACAGAAUCAGGGAUGUGGGCGAUAAUGGGGAAUAACUGAAUAAAUAAGGAACGAGACUAUAAAUAAACAGAAGAUGCCAAGCAUAGAUGUUUUUUUCCCCCGAGAACAAGAAGACUAAUUUAUUUUUCUACAUUUUUCGCUUACUAGGAGUAGUCUACUUGCAAACUUUUUUUCCUCUCCAUUUUUUAGUUUUUCUACGAGUUGUAAUAUCUAUGAAUCUUGAGGGACUAGAUUUAAAAUUUUAUUCUAACAUUAACUCUAAAUUGUAAUCCACCAGCGUUGGCAAUCUAAAAUUUAAAAAUACAUGUAUUAGUUGCAAUUAUUUUAAAAAUACAAUAAAUAUCAAAUAUAUAUGUUAUACUGGCAACCCAAAGGGCAAUAUGCUAUAUCGAACAUAGCUCCAACCCUAGUAGGUUGAUCAAUACGAAUAUGGCCCCACACUCAAAUCUAGAAAAUAAAUUACAAUAAAUUAUAUACCAACGCUUAAUAUAAUACCGAAAAUAUUAUAUAUUAUACCUGUAACAAUGUCACAAAGUAACAUCAUUUGUCAUUUCCUUUUAAUGAAGUCAUUCCUAACGCCCAAUAUAGAUAGGUCAAAGCUGCUGCACCGUAUGCUAAUCUGCUGCAUUCAUCAAAAUCUUUCAAAAGUGGAAGCCACUUAAGAUGAACUCUAUAUUCAAUGGGUUGGAAAACAAGCUACACCUAAUUUGAUAUAAUAUAUAGACUUGUACUGUAGCUGCAACUACUCCUGCAUAGGCAUAAAAAUGUAUAUGGUGGCAAUGCUGAUAUAACCACUCCAGUCUAAUUUGACCAGUCUUGAUGUCAUCUAGCACAUCUUCUAAAAGCAAUUGACAAAGAUCUUACCAUGCGUACAGUGUGGUACCAGUCAUGAAUAAACCAGUUGCACGAAGACCAGAAAUGAUCGCGACAUCCUGAAAUGUAAUCAUCAUCUCACCGUGGCAGAAGUGAAAAGUCUAUGUCUCCUGUAUCCAUCUAUCAACCAUAGUUCCUAAUAAAGCCCGAUCCAGCUACACACGCCUAAAGUAUGAUACAUAGUAGAAUCCAGCCUGUCGUAGAAGAUCGAGCACCGCUGGGUGGUCAAGAUUCCACUAGUUUUGCCACCAUGUUCUAUGAAUUGAACAGUAUGAUACUCCUACAGUAAAGACAAUGGAGUUAGAUCAUCAUUUCGACUUUUUAGUACUUUGAUAAACUUCUAAUUAAAAUAUUUGGAUAAAUUCCGACCUAUGAAGAUGCUGCUCCAUCAGCACCGAUGAAUCAACUGGUCUCGCGUCCUUUAGAUCCGUCUCAUUAAAUAUUGAAAGUUUUGCAGUUAGUAACAUAUUAGGUAAAAACUCAUUAAAUAUUAAAAGUUUUACAGUUAGUAACAUAUUAGGCAACAAGUCCUACGCCGGAGUCCUUGCUGCGUUCUCUCUGUAUUUUGUGGACAAGUGCUCCUAUAAUGCCCUUUUUAUUUACAAACGCUACAUUUUGUUUGUUGUCCUACUCUUUCAUCCAUUAUAUUGCAAAUAUAUAUAGAUCAUAGGAGACCUUUCUUUCUUCAACCAAAAGACGGCAUAAUUGGCGGGCCCUGGGGUCGUGGCCAGUGUCGUUUAUUUGGAACAUGGUGGAAUUGUGGUGCAUAUGUCUUGCGAUAGCAAUCAACACUGUACCAACGGAAACAAAAGAAUUCGGAUUGCUUGUUUUACAAGCCUUCUUGGAUCGUCCUUGUCUCGAUGCUUCUGGAUCUCCCACGUUUCUCGCCUUCUCCUUUGCGUACGCCUUACGCCACUGAUCGGAUACGGAUUUGAUGCGACGGAUGCCAAUCGAAGAGGGCUACCAGAGUCCUCUUCUAUAUCCACACUCCAAAACCCCGGAAACGUAGGUGGAAAUCCCAGAGAGGAAGAAAAGAGAGAAUAAUAGAAUAUUGAAUUAAUUCGAAUAUCAAUCGUUACAGAUGGGAGAAACAAGGGGACGUAUAUAUAGAAUAACGAAACCCCUAAAUAUCCUGAAUCUCAUAUAGAUUAGGAUAAGGAUUAGGAAAUCUAUUAACAUAUAAUAGAUAUCCACUAGUAGAUAUGUUUCUUAACUGAUAAGAAACAUAUAAUUUAUUCUUAUCCUAAACCCAUUAGGAUAAAUCACAAUCCACAUCUUAAGUGGAUCGGGUUAAAUCAAGACCCGCCAAUGUGGACACACCACAUGGCUACUGUUGUCCUACUCUUUCAUCCAUUAUAUUGCAAAUAUAUGUAGAUCAUAGGAGACCUUUCUUUCUUCAACCAAAAGACGGCAUAAUUGGCGGGCCCUGGGGUCGUGGCCAGUGUCGUUUAUUUGGAACAUGGUGGAAUUGUGGUGCAUAUGUCUUGCGAUAGCAAUCAACACUGUACAAACGGAAACAAAAAAUAUGAUAGUCUAUUCUUUCCUGUGAGUACUACAAACUGCUAAAAGAUGUGAGCAAGGUAUUUCAAUUAGUUAGAAUUAGCCACAAUCACAUUCCGCAUCUGUUUCAUUCACAACCACCUAAUAUGAAAAAUCUCCAGUAUUGACCUCAAUUUCCAUGAGCCCAAAUCGAUGGACAAUGUGUCCCCGCGCCAUCUCUAUAUCUGCUAUAAUAUUACUUUGUAUUUUAGGAGUUAACUUGCCUAUCAUAUUUUCACCAUCUUCAUGACACUGUAAGAAAUUCUUAUUAAGUUUAUAAAAUAUCACCGCGACAAAAGUUGUGAUAGGCAGAAUAUGUACUCUCUUAAGUACCCUAUUUAAGCUUUCUGACAUAUUUGUGGUCAUCAACCUGAAGCGUCGUUCUCCGUCAAAUGCUCAUGCCCAAUAAUCUUUGUGUUCUUUAAGAUCAUCCACCACCUUUUAGGCAUCAUGGUCCAACACAUCUAAUUCUUCCUUAAGCUUAAAAUACUUUGUCGAUGUUGAAGCACUUCCGACUGCAUAAAGUCUCAUUUUUAAAAUGCUUAUUCAUAUUUGCUUUCAUGUGUCGAAGACACCAUCGGUGUGCGUGACCCUAUCAUGGAGGAUUUAUCUCAACUACUAUUUUCUUCAAUCCACUAAAUCGAUCAGAUAUAAAGCAAAGUUCUCGAUUGCGCUAACGUAUUGACGCAAGUUAUCCAAAAACCAACGCGAACUCCCACCACUCUCUCCUUUGCAAAUUACAAAUGUAAAAAAAUAUAUGCCAUUAUUUGCAUCUAUAGCCAUAGCUAUCAAUGCAUGGCCUUCGUAUUUGUUAAAUAGAAGGUCUAGAUGACCAAAAAAUAUGACCAAACCGAUAAAUCCCAUUUGAUGGCCACCUAUGAUCAAGAUACCAUAAAGUACCAGAAUUACUUUUCUGCACUACAGUAAGAUAAUGAGGCAAGUCUGUGUAUGAUUGCUCCAAGCUCUUGUAAAUAAUCCGUAAUACUUUUACUCCUUGAGCCAAAUCUUCCAAUAGGUUAUGUCAACAUGCAAAGUGGAUCGCACUAUUUCUUAUAUUUUUUUAGCGUCAUAUUAAGUCUUGCCUUCAUUGUUGGGAGAAUAAUUUGACAUAUAAAACUUGAAAUGCAAUUAUAGUGCCAUGCAUUUAACAUUGGAAUUAUAUACGUGUGUUGACCAGCAUAUGUCUUAACUUUAAAGUACAUCACAUUUUUAGGAACUGAAGUGUGUAAUCUCCAAGGACAUCCCUUUACUGUGCAUUUUACUGUAAGUCAUUUUCGUAGAUUUCAAAACUUUCAUCUGAACAUUAUGAGUAAUAUGCCAUCGAUUUAAAGUGUCUAAUGAAGAUGCCUUCUCAUGAAAGAUCUGACCAACCCAAGUCUUGUCAAUGUUAAGUAGACCUGUAUUGAUUUGUCUAACAACAAACUUAGUAGAAUCCAUGAUAUACUAAUUUACCCAAAUGUUAUCUGCAAAAAAGUGCUCCGGAUAGUCAAUAAAUUCAAGUUCCUCAUUAGAAUUGUUUACAUAUUCAUUAUUUAUAUGUUGGUCGUCCUUCUCACUGUUAAUGGCAUUAGCAAGACAAUUCAACCCACUAUUGUAAUCAUCAUUAAUGUUUAGUGCUAGAUCAUUCCAUUCGUCGUCCUCACUGGUAUAAUUAUCGUCAUCGUCAUUAUGAAUAGGUGCAUCCUCAUGGUUACUAUCAUUAUCACCUCCCCCAUCCAAUAUUAGUAAAAAAAUUCAUUCCUAUGUUCGUAGGACAUAUAUAGAUUGCACAUUUUCCAAAACUUUACUACAUUAUGUACAAUUCUACAUACCAUUUGUAACACACUGAAUUUUAGCAUAUUGCAAGGUUCGAGUGUUUGAUUGGUGUUCUGAGCCUUUUUGGGUUUUCUGUAUGGUCGUUGACUGUGUUCCGACCUAUGACUCGCAUCCCGAGGAGUGAGGACGAGAAUUUGGCACUAAAAUCUUUAAAUUGCAGAUUUUAGGCAGCUCUCGGAUUGAACUCUACGAGGCUGAGUACCGGUACCGCAUUGCCCGAGUACCGGUACUGGAGCUGGUACCGGUACGCAGUGUAUUUUCUCGCUGACCCGAGGCUCGGGUUUGCGCGUGCUGCUGCUUGGUACCAGUACUCCAGCCCGUGUCACCGAUAAGCAGUGCAGUGCAGACUGUGCGUUGUUGAGAGGUAUUUUUGAGAUUGUUACAACUCUAUAUAACACUCCCACAGCCAUUGGAGAGCUCUUUUGAGCCCUAAUUCGUGGAGAGCACAGGUGAGAGCUUUCUCUCCCUUGGUUUUCUCUCAUUUCUAGUGAUUUUUGCUUGGUUUGAUCUCCUCUCUUUGCUCCUAUUUGCUUCAUGUUGGAUUUCCACCAUUGGAGAAGCUUUGGAGGUUGGAUUGGAGCUUGUUGGAAGAGAGAUCUUCAACCCUAGCUCAUUCCAAGCUUGAUUUGGAGCUUCAAGAGAGGUUAGUAGACUUGAUCUCUUCAUUGGAUCAAGUUUUAUGGGACUUUUGAGAUGAAAACCUAGUUUUGUAGAAACUAGGAUUUUGUUUGGGGCUUUUCAUUUGGAAGCUUUUGGUUUGGAAUUGAUGAGUGUAGAACACUCUUGUAGGUUGGAUUUGAAGCUUGGAAGCUUCGAUUUGAGCUUUGGACAAGUGUAGCAUGAUCAAAGGUAUUUUUCACCUUAUUGUGUGCGUGUGUUUGGAAGAUUUUCGAAGUAGUCGUUUUGGAGUUUUUAACCCUUUAGAAUUUCUCUUAGGGUGUUAGAAGUUGGGUGGACAACUUCGUUCGAAGGAACGAAAGGAUUCGAAGUGCUUCCGGUGGGUUUGACCUCACCGAAAUGGGUGAACUCCCCCUAUGUCUUUCUUUUGGUUUUAAGAUAUAAUUAGAUGCUUUUUCAUGUUCAAUAUAACAUGUUAGAAUUUAUGAAAACAUAAUAUGUACAUGUUAUGUAUAGUGAAAAUUUCAUGCUCUAUGUAGUAGAGGCGUAUUGUGGACUUGAGCAUAAAGUGACACUUCAUAAUGAACUCUCUUUUAUGCAACCUUAGAAAGUAUGUUAGAAUAUGAAUGAAGAUACACUCCUUGGAAGUUAACUAGUGAAUGGGUUAGAAAAGUGAUUAUUUCACAUGAUGAGCAAUAUACUUGUGUAGACAAGUAAUGUGACAUUGUGACUGAGUGAAUAACAAGGCUAAACAUGGAACUAAGCAUGUGGUACUUAACCUAGUGGAAUAACUAGGGCUUGACAUUAUGAUAUUGUAUUUGACUUAGAGAUUGAUAGCUACGCCCCAUGACUUUGACAUAUGAAAUAAAGGAGAAUUUGGCACUUAGUUGCAUGUUGAGGCAUACUUGUGGUAUACAAGGUAGAUAUGACAUUGUGAUGAAAGAGCACGUUAGGGUCAACAUGAGACUAUGUUUGAUGAAUCUCAUCUAGUGAAACAACUACUAUAUAACAUUGAGAUUGCAUUCGAUCUAGGGAUCGAUAGUUGCAUUCCAUGUGUGGGACAUGUGAUAUGAGCUUUGAACGCCCUUGGGCGAAUGAUAGGAGGAAAAAGUGCAUGUAAAUAUAAUAAUAUGAAAUCACUUGCAUGAUAGUUUAUCACUCCAAGUAGUGGAGGCAUUGGUAGAAAAGCAUGAGCAUGACAUGCAUCAUGAAUGUUUGAAUGCUUAAGGUAUAUGUGCUACGUGUUACAAUUAUAGUCUCUAUGUAAUAGAGAGAGAAUUGUAUAGUAAAUUUGCAUGUGAAAUGGCUUCUUUAUUUUAUGUUGGAAGUCUUGUUAUAUUUAGUAAAAUGACAAACUUUUACAAGCUCAUGAACCAAGGACAUGUGUUAAACAUAGAGAUCAUUAAUGUCUUAAAGUGGCAUUCGAUUUAGUAAUAGUUAACCUUUACACUAUGACAUAGAUCUAGACCUUUGGGUUGCUAGAAUUUAUACCAUGUUGGAGACAUGACGAUCGUAUAUUUGAGACGAUGAUCUUACUUGCUCGCCAAUUGUGCUCAUUUGCACAUACUUGUGAGUGUCGCUCCCCACAAGCCGGCACUCCGGAGUUAGCCUAUGCGACAUACGCCUACUCGGCCUGCGUGGGAUAGACUCAUUCAUCGAGUGGAAAUGUUGGAGCUACCAUGGGCAAUUAGGCAACACAAACCGGACUACACUUGUGUAAGUACUGGGCCCGCAUGGGAUAGACUCAUUCCUAAAGUGGGAAUGUUGGGGCUACCACUGUCACGCCCUGGACUUCAGCGGAAGCUCGCCAGUCACGUGCACAGACUCGCCGUGUACACCACAACCUUAAGUGUACACCAAGCGUCUACAAUCAACAUAACAAAAACACAAUAUUCUAACCAGGUGAUCAGAGCAACACUUAACAGUUUAUAAGCUUAUACAAAUACAGAACCUUAUAACAACUUAGAAACAAAGUACAAAGUACAUUCUACAUAACCUCACUAUACAACACUGAACCAAACUAAAAUAAACUUGUAGAGGUUCAUCUAUUUAACAUCAAGAAGGUUUUAGCUAGCCCUGACCACUCGCCAGGAACCCUAGCCUUUCCCGCUGUGGAAGGCUCUGCACAAAAGCAAUCAACAACUAUUAAACAAUAUUUCCCAGUAGGUAAGCUGCCGAGAGUGGCGAAGUACACCAUUAGGUCAACUGAGGCAUAAGUAAACAACAAUAAAUAAGCAAAGUAAACGCAACAAAUAAAUGAAAUAAUUCAACUAUAACACGCCUCAUUAAGAUAUGUUUUCUAACAUGUCUUAUAUGCUACUAAUCAGAUAUACAAGUUCUGUAUGUUAUGCUGGCUACCAGCUUGUUUAUCUUUAACUAUAUGUCAAUGUUAAAGCAGGAUUCCAAUAUUAUAAUUCAACAGAAUAAAAGUAUUAUAUAGCUACCUUUCUACACUAACAAGAGUAUAAUCAUACGGGUAAUGUCACUACUACUAAUGACUAACAGAAACGUCUGCCCUCUAGUAUGUUCAUUACUAGGUAUAUCUCAACUACUAACAUAAAGUAUUCUUACUACUAUGUCCAUCUAGGGUUAAACUCAUUACAGUAACCCAAUUAACAAGAGAUUUACACGUAGUAAAGUCUCGGCUCGUGCCGUACCUAAUGGCCCCGUGGUAGUAUAUACUCCCUAUAGUAAUCCACUUCGGCGCUCAGUCCCGUACAUAAGUGAGCAAUCUGUCGCGUAGGCCAACCCCAGAGUGCCGGCUUGUGGGGCGCGACCCUCACAUGCUGUGCGAAUGAGCACAUUAGCAAACAAGCGUAAUCCAUAGUAUAGGUAUCACAAGUUUAUCAUGUCUCUAACAUGGAAUCUCAACUCGACACAAAGUCAACAAUUAACACUAAGUCAUAAUGCACUAUCACUACUUGGUGACAGGUUUCUACCAAUAAAUAGCAUGACCUAAACAAAUACAUACUUUACAUCAUAUUGAUGAUUCUAACGGGCUAUACCCGCAUACUCACAUAUUGUUCUCUCACUACUCCCUAAAUAUAAAAAAAAAUGGUUUACUAAGGUCAUACUCGAUGACUCAUUCUAGUGUUCAUGUAACUCAUGGCACAUAUUCUAUAGUUUUACAUAAACCUCCACUACUUGGAGUAACAAGUAAUAUGCAAUUACUUCUCGUUGACUAUACAAGUGUAUCAUCAUAUCGAAUUCUAGUUAUUUAACUAGACAUAUUCAAUAGUAUAACCUUCAGGUUAUAUCAUAAUACCCAACUCUAGUUAUUUAACUAGAUCACCUAUAAGAACAUAAAAUUUAUGCUAUUUCUAUCAUGCGAGAACAAUACCCAACUUGUUAACACAAGUAAGCGAAACAUCAUAUAAGAUACUCUCUACAUGAUUUCUACAUAAUUCCUCUCACAAUAUACAUGUAUAUGUAUGCAGUCCUAUUCAUAUACUAUACUAGAAGUUCUGUCAUCAUGUCUACCACAUGGAAUGGCAUGAUUUAACUCAAAAAUACAGCAUUAUAAUACAUCAUUCACUUAGUUGUUCAACUGAGCUACAUGCCAUAUUCAUGGCUUUAUAUCCAUUCACUAGUGAAUGAUGGCUUUCUUAACUUGUCUACACAAGUAUACUAUCUUAUGUAAUGCAUGCUAGGCAAGCAAGUAAUCUCUAUAUGCAAAGCAUUUUCAUGAUUCUCCCCUACUAUAUAGAGGUUUUCUUUAAUCCAAUAAAAUAUGCAGAUUUCUGCGUGCACCAAUUCAUUCAAAUAUACAACAUAUAUUCAUAGGAAUAUGUAACAAUUCCCAAUUUCAUAAUGUCAAAGAAGACAUAGAAGGAAUUCACCCAUUUCGGUAAGGUCAAACCCACCAAAUCGCUGUCGACUCUUGUCGAUCCUGCAAACGAAGAUAAUCUGAAGCCUUCAAGCACCCUAGCAAUCGUUCUAAAAUCAGCUAGGAGUUUAACAUCAACUUCUAAUAAAACCUUACAUAAGUAUCUAGUUUAGGCAAGAAUCUCACCUAGGGUAGUAUCAAGGCUUACAUCCUCACUUCGGUUCAGGUUGGAACACCAAAACCAACCUUCGAAAACUCCCAAAUCUCACCCAAAAGGGAUCCAAUACCCUGCUGUGAACCUGCUAUGAACAUAUCCCCUAAAUUGCAUCAAUAUUACUACCUACACAUCCAACUUGAAAGGAGUUAGGUUACUCACCUUGUACAGCUCCAACUGAAGUUGAAGCACACCAAAACCAGUUCACAAGAGUCACCAAAAUACAGUUAUAAGGUCCACAUAACAUGCUGUGAGCAAUUCCCAAAAGCAUCAUUACUACUACCACUAAUACUAUUACUAUAGUAUCAAACUAGAUAGGGUAGUAGCUAAUAACCUUCCAAGGCUCCAAUUCAGUUCCUACUGAGUUAAGAUUGAAGAACAACAGCUAAAAUACUGCUUCUACAGCUCCUACAAGUCUCCCCCAACCUAGCUGGUAGCAAGAAACAAAGACGAGCUCAAACUUCACUACUAUAGCAUCAAACUAAAGAGCGGUUGAAUAGCUCACAUCACAAAGCUUCAACUCAGCUUCCUGCUGAGUUAGAGCUGGGAAACACAGCUAAACAAGUCUUCCCACACCUCAAAAGCAGCUCCACAAGUCACCAACCCAGCUAGCAACAAAAGAGAGGAAAGAAACUUGCUCAAAUCUUACUUUCUUACUCAAAAAUACCUCAAAACCCUAGAGAGAGAGAAAGAGAAGGGUUCAAACCCUGUUCUCUGAGCUCCAGCACACCUUAAGCUGCUGCAGGGAUCGAGCUGGGCAUAAAAGGAUAAGCUCAAUGGUGAAAUGACCAAAAUAGCCUCAGCCACGCUGCUGCUGUAUUGGGUACCGGUACUCGAGCAAGUUGGUACUGAUACUCAGUGCAAAAACCAGAAUUUCGCCGCUUCAAUGCGUUUUUGCUCUUCCGACCAUUUGAUCACUUCACUAACUUGCCGAAAACCUCUCGACAACCUCUCAAAAUAUGUGGAAUAGUUCCAAUUGCUAUUCCCAUACUUGAACUUCGUAAUUUGCUAAAGUUUAGUGUACUACAACCACGGGCAAUUAGGCGGCACAAGCCGGACUACACUAGUAUGGGUCCUUGAUUGAAAUUGGAAAAUGAUACCUAAAGUUUAAUGAGGAAACUACUACUAGAUAGUGCAUCUUAGUUGGACUAGUGGACAUACAUGAUAGUGCAUAUAGUGGACUUUAUAUUAGUCAUUCUUAGCAUUAACACUCUAGUGGUAGUAUAUUUAUAUCUAUAUUGAUUGGUAUAAAUGCAUGGUUAAAAUAGCAAAGAAUUGCAUAAUUACUCAUUGUAGCAUUAUGGAUAUAAUGAACAUGCAUGUAAACCAAUAUUGGCAUGUAGUUGAAUGUGCAUGUAAACGGACAUUGGCGUAUAAUUGGAUAAAUAAAAUUAGAAUAUCACAUACAUGAUGGCUAAUCCUUUAGUAGAGGCAUGACUAUGAAUUGAACAUGUUUAUUUUACUUGUCAUUUUUAUGUUGUUUACUUACCCUUAUAUAGCAUGCCUCAGUUAACCUAGUGGUGUAUUUCGCCACUCUCGGCGACUUACCCACUGGAAACUAUUGUUUAAUAGUUCUCACCCCCAUUUGUUGUUGGUUUUUAUUUCAGAGCCUUCCGCGGCAGGAGAGGCUAGGGAUCGUAGCAAGGGGUUAGCGACUAGCUAGAGCCCCUACGGAGAUAUAUUAGAUGGACUCGAUGUCAUCAUUCCCUUUUGUACUUAUGAAAAUGAUGUAUUAUGUAUUUGAUUUAAAGUGUCAAGCCCCGGAUUACUCGUUUUUUCUGACACGCCGACAAAUCCGCCGUAUACAAAGGAAUUUUUUCUGUAUACGAAGCGAUAGCUGUACCUAUACCUGUAAUCAUACAAUACUACAACCAGUAGUAUAGAGCUGCUAGAAGAGAAAACAUAUAUAAUAACAGAGGUCCACUAUACAUACAUCAUAUCCUGGUAUACAAAAGACUCGCUCCAGCGAGAAACAACAUCCGUAUGUAUAAGAACCUAAAAACUACAAUUAACUGUCGCUGGUAAAUCUCUAGUCUGCAGCAAAUGGAGAGGGUCUAGCUCGCAGCGCCCUUUCCACGAUCCGAAUCAGCAACAGCACCAACCGAAGAAGAAGGCUCUGCAAAAGGUUUAAACAACCGAGUGUGAGAACUACUAUAAAAAGUAGUCCUCAUUGGGUACCGCUAUCGACCUCAACGGCUCACCCACUAAGUUUACAGAUGUAAGCAGGGAUAGUAAGAAAAGCUGGAACAAAUCUACAGCUAUAUGCCACUAUACUAUCAUAAUCCAACACUAUCUGUCUGUAGAAAAAAAUACAAAAUCUGACCCAAUCUCACUAGGGACUGUAAACAUACUCGUCCCAGGGACUGUGAAUACACCCGUCCCACCUGUCGAAGCUAUACAGCUACCUCCAUGCUAAGCCGACCGUGGAGAGCAAGUCCAAUCAGGACACAACGACACCAACACAAACGCACAAAGUCCGACUCCUUAGUGGCACUCGUGGGCGCUACCUAACCGAGUAUGCAAGUGUGUCUCUGCCGAGCUCAAUCAGGCUCUCACAGGCUGUAAUCGACGCAGAUGGGUCAAACUGGUCUAACAACUAUAAAUCAUAUGCUCUCGGCACAAUCCAAUGCUAAAAACAGCAAAUCGGGUCCACCGUUAACCACAACAGCACCCAACAGUCCGGAACAGUCUGAACACUACUGUAUAAAUAAUCUCUGCAUCCCAGCAUGAGCGUAAUAUUAUUCUACACUAUUCUGAGUAUCCACCGCUCACAAACUACGACGAUACAAAUAAACUACGGCUCCUAGAGCUAAAUCUGGUAAUUUCAGAAUAUGACGGUAUAAUCGACAGUUUUCUCCUAAGUCAAUUUCAAGUCCAACAUGUAUACUUUAGCUAAUAUUCUAGGCUCCAAUUCAGAUUUUAAAUCAUGCAAAAUCACUGAUUUGAGCUAUUAAACAUGCUAAACGAAGCUAAAACACAUGCUGACAACAACUAGAUUUAGGAGAAAAUCCGAAAAUUCUGGUAAGCAUAUCAUUAACACACCUCGAAACGCUAAUCCACGACGGCGAGAAGUCGAAAGAAGGGAAAACACGCACUUGCCCGGCCUCCAACGGCACAACCGCGACACACGCACACUCGAACGGCCCUCCGGAUCGUCAUCGAAAAUCACCCGAAAUGGAGCCGCGAUCUUCCUCGAAUACGUUCAAGUUAAGAGAGAGAUGAACAUGAGAUUUAAAAUAAUCUCUCUUAGGUGGAUAACCAUGAGAGGAAGUAGGUGGUGUGGUUAUCCACACCCAAAAAAAUGACCAUUACAUCUCUCUACCAACUCAAAAUGAAGGAUACCACAUAAAGAUAUUGUUAGACUUUUGGAUUUAGUUGUUUACAUUCUGUAUAUCUUGUGAAUAUCUUUGUAAUAGAACAUUAGUGAUUUUAUAUUACUCGCUCUAAUAGUUUUGUUAGGACCUGAUCUUGUUCAUUCUUGUGUUAGUAGACUCCUUAUGUGCAUCAUGGUUGGUUGGUGUACACGGCGGGUCUGUGCACGUGUUCGGUGGCUUCCGCUGGGCUGGGGCAUGACACCAUUAAUAUAAAAAAUGAUGAAUUUUCUUAUAGUUUCAGUUGACAUUUUGGAUUUUGGACGGGAGGUCAUCUGUAGUACAUGGAAUGUUGCGUGUUCUGUACAAGAGGUCGUGGUUUGUCUAUGUUGGCCGUAAGUUGAGCAUAAGACGUCAUGGGUUGCACAGCAGGUGGAGACUAACAUUGUCUGUAAUAUUUAUAAUUUAGUAUUACUAAAAUAAUUAAUAAUUAAAGAGAACACUAACCAAAAUCUAUAGAUUUUACUCACUUUGUCAUCCUCAUGCUACCUUCAUUACUAAUAUUGUGAUCAUUGAUUGGAUAGUUUGAAAAAUCCACAUCGAUAUCAUUAUUAAGCAAUCUCAUGUAAUAGCCUUACGAUUGAUACCGUCUCCGAUGGAUAUAAAUCUUUUCGACGUAUACCGACAUACAUUCAUAAUAUUCAAAUAAUCCAAUCAUUUUAUCAAGUGUUUCAUCAUCUACUAUUUUAUGAGCUAUAUAUAUUCAUUCAAAACCUUGGGGUAUUGAAUUAUGAAUUUGGGAUGAAAUUCUUCUAUAGUACAAUUUGUUAAACGAUACAUUCUCGUCUCAAAAGUAUUAAAUAUCAUAUCUGAACGAUCGCGGUCAAUAUCUUUUAACCGCCGACAUAUUGCAGACUAUUCCCAUCCCUAACUAACUAUCCAUCCCAAUGAAAAAUUAGUGAUAUCAAUAAUUAUCCAUUUUAACUAUACGAAAGAAAUCUUUCAAAAUUAAUAUAAAAUAUUUAGUCAAAAUAAUACAAAAAUAUAGAGGAAGGAAAAAAGGGACCACCCAAGAUGCUCAUAAGCACGCAAGGAAGGUUUCUAUUGCUUGAAGUACCUCCAACAGUAAUAAGAGAGGGCGGUGGCCCACCCUCUAACUGCCACUCCCUUUACCCCCAACUUCUACUUCUCUUGCUCCCUCCACUAACCCACUACAGUCACCACAGCGCCCUGCAUAACCACUCAAUCCCUGCUGCUGCUACCGUCGUGCCCCAUACCAAAGCACCGCCAUACUCCCCACCGCCACCCCCCACUUCUUCCCCCCUCCCCGCCGUCAUGCAUGGAAUGUAGUGGGUUCUGCACAAGAGGUCAUAGUUUGUCUACGUGAGUCAUAGCUUACGCAUAAAAGGUCAUGGAUUACGAACAGGUGGAGACUAACUUUGUCUGCAGUAUUUAUAAUUUAAUAUUACCAAAAUAAUUAAUAAUUAAAGCUCACCAAAAUCUACAGAUUUUACUUAUUUUGUCAUCCUCAAACUAUCUUCGUUAUCAAUAUCGUGAUCAUCGAUUGGAUAGUCCAAAAACCCACAUCGAUAUCAUUUAUGAAGCAGUCUCACAUCAUAGCUUUACAAUUGAUACUGUAUCUCCAACAGAUGUAAAUCUUUCUCGAUGUAUACCGACAUAUCUUCACAAUAUUCAAACAAUCUAAUCAUUACCUCAAAUGAUUCAUUAUUUAUUGUUUCGUGAGCUAUAUAU